AAUCUAUCCCCAAAUCCACCAAAUGCACCAAUCAAUCUCUCUCUCUCUCUCUCUCUCUCUCUCUCUCUCUCUCUCUCUCUCUCCAAAUGCACCAAUCAAUCUCUUUCUCUCUCUCUCUCUCUCUCACCAAAUGCACCAAUCUCUCUCUCUCUCUCUCUCUCUCUCUCUCUCUCUCUCUCUCUCGUAGUAUUAAUCAAUACUGUCUAGCUUUUUUUAAAAUUUUAUUUUUAUUUUUAUUUUUACUUUUAUUUUUAUUUUUUGUCUUUGUCGAGGCCCUCGUUGCCUCAGCUUGUUUCACCUAAUUCAUCUCUUCAAUGAAUGAAGUGGGUAGCAUGCUACCUUUUCCUCAAAAAAAUAGUGUCUAGCUAAAAUACUAAUAGUAUCAAGCACUUUGUGCUAUUCAGUUUUUCACCACUAAAUCUACCCAUUGAUCAAUUUCAUCUCUUAGAUCAUGCUAUUCUACUAAUCACUCACUAAACCUUAGGAGGACCACCACUAAACCCUAGGCCUCCGUUUGGUUCGGGGUUAAGGAAAAAGUAGCUAUUUCAGGGAUAGGGUUAAGUUCAGGGUUAAAGUGGGGUUAAAGUUUUUUUGUGUUUGGUUGGGGGUUGGAGUUAGUCUAGAAUAAUGAAAAAUAGUGUUUCGUUGGAGUAGGUGGGAUAAGAAGAUAAUGAUUGAUAAAGAAGGAUAAUGAUUGGUUGGAAUAGGUGUGAUAAGAAAGAUAGUGGGUUAUUAUGAAUAGAAAAUAGUGUUGGGUUGGAGUUUGGUGGGAUUAGGUGAGGUUAGUUAACCCGGAAUAAUUUAUUUGAGGUGGGGUUAGCUAACUCCACCUAUUUUUUGGGGUGUUUGGGGAUAAAAUGGGAGUUAAGGGAUUAUUCCACCCCUUAACCCCCAACCAAACAAGGGCUAGGAGGUCCAAUGUAUAGUUUUUCAUCUAAGGUUAUAAAUUUAGUAGUGAAGAGGCCCAAAUAACUAUUAGUAGUAUUCCAGCACAACUAUAUAUAUAUAUAUAUAUAUAUAUAUGCCGACCGUCCCUAGAGUAAGUGGCAAAGGGCUUGGUGGUUGGUACUCGAGACCCAAGUUCGAAUCCUAGUUUAUUCACAUUUUCAGCUAAGUUUAUUUCUAAAUGAAAUAAACAAAGUGAGUAGCGUGCUUUCUAUAUGCCGACCGUCCCUAGAGUAAGUGGCAAAGGGCUUGGUGGUUGGUACUCGAGACCCAAGUUCGAAUCCUAGUUUAUUCACAUUUUCAGCUAAGUUUAUUUCUAAAUGAAAUAAACAAAGUGAGUAGCGUGCUUUCUAUAUGCCGACCGUCCCUAGAGUAAGUGGCAAAGGGCUUGGUGGUUGGUACUCGAGACCCAAGUUCGAAUCCUAGUUUAUUCACAUUUUCAGCUAAGUUUAUUUCUAAAUGAAAUAAACAAAGUGAGUAGCGUGCUUUCUAUCUCUCUAUAUAUAUAUAUAUAUAUAUAUAUAAACAUAUAUGAAGUCACAAUAUUUUUUGCCACGUGGUAUGUUACUUUUCAUUCUCAUAACUCAACUUUAAAUCAAAUCACCUUCUCCUCUUAUCAACACCCAACCUUUCACCUCCCCACUCUAAUUAUAUGCAAGCUAGUGCAACAUUUAAUUAUAUGCACAAUAUUAAUAUUCUUUAAUCCACUCCCCUUCUCCAUUAAUCUCCCAUCCUCUCUCUUUUGCAACUUUUUUACAUGCAUCGUAAAAAAAAAUUUUGCCACGUGACAUGUUACGUUCAUUCUCAUAGCCCAACUUUAAAUCAAACCACCUUUUUCUCUUCUCAACGCACAACCCUUCACCCCCCACUCCUCUAAUUUACAAGGUGCAACAUUUAAUUACAUGCAUCAUAUUAAUAUUCUAUCAAUUAGUGGGUUCUAACUAUAAUUUUAUUUUUUUAACAGUUGAAUUUAGUCAUACAAAUUUACUGUACUUAAAAUGGUAUAGUUUUCAAUAUAUCAAUAAGUUGUAAAUAUAAAUUUUAUUAAGAUUUUUAAAUUUUGUUUCUAUUAUCUAUCCGCUGCAUCGUGCGAGUCUCUACACUAGUGUGUGUGUAUAUAUAUAUAUAUAUAUAUAUAUAUUAUAUAUUUAUAUAUAUAUAUAUAUAUAUAUAUAUAUAUAUAUAUAUAUAUAUAUAUGUCGACGGUCGGAUUCUGGUCGAUUUUAAAAACCCGAACCCGAACCCGACUCCAAACCCGAGACCCGAACCCGAACGGCGAACCCAAUGGAUUUUAAAAUUCAUAUCCAACCCAGAACCCAACCAAAAAUCCAAAACCCAAACCCGAAAAAUUUGAACCCGAAACAAUUAUUUUUUUUCAAUAUUUCAAAAUAUAUUAUAUUAAACCUAAAUUUUAAAAUCAAAUUCAAAUAUAACCAUCAAAUUUUUAUAUAUAGAGUACUAGCUCUCGCGUACUUUCGAAGUACAGGAGCCUGUGCUUGUAAUGUUGUUUUCGAUGAUAGGACGUUCGAUUCGACGAUCGGCUCCGUUAGGUAUGAUCUACCCUAUUGGAACUAUCUAGAAACCAAAUUUUAGAUUUUUUUGCCAUGCAUUUACUAAGCGAUCAAAAAGUCUAAAAAAUGACUAUUUUAACGGUCGAUGUGGCACAUUUUUUAAGUUCAACGGUGUAGAAGUAUCCAAUUACAUGAAAUUUAAUAAAAUUCUACUAACAUCAGUAGCAAGAUCAAUACUUCCGAUUUAAAUUUGAAUCCUUUAUCACUUUUUUAUGAGAUUUUAUUUUCAGCCGUUCAUUUUGAGGCUACUCGUUCACUAGACAAACAAAAUCAAAAAAUUAUGAAUUUGUUUCUAGAUAGUUCUGAUAGCGUAAAUCAGUUUACGGGAAUCGAUCGCCGAAUCGGAUGUCCCAUCAUCGAAAACAACUUACAAGCACGGGGCCUCCCGUACUUUCGAAGCAUAGGAGCCAGCUCUUUAUAUAUAUAUAUAUAAUAUAUAUAUAUAUAUAUAUAUAUAUAUAUAUAUAUAUAUAUAUAUAUAUAAUACAAAAUAAAUUCGGGUUCGGGUCGGGUUCGGGUUCGAGUCGGGGUACAAUCAAAAUCCAUAUCCGAAUCCAUAUCCGUCGGGUUUCUAUUUUUGAUAUCCAUAUCCGAAUCCAUAUCCAUAUCCAUCGGAUAUAUCCGUUUCAUUCGGGUUCAGGUUCGGAUAAAAUUUCGGGUAUCCAUACUCAUUGACAUCCCUAUAUAUAUAUAUAUAUAUAUAUAUAGAGAGAGAGAGAGAGAGAGAGAGAGAGAGAGAGGGAGAGAGAGAGAGCAUGAAACUAUGUCAAGCACUUGGUGUUUGUAAAUUUUUUAUUGUUUGAUUUACACUUUGGACCAUUUCCAUCCAUUAGAUUAUACUAUUCAACCAGCCACACACUCAACCCUAGGGACUAUUAUCAUCCUAACCGCACAUCCCUUCAUCUAAGGGUCGAAAGUACCAUUGACUUGGUACUACUAGAAUCAUUCCAGAUUAAUUCUAUAUAUAUAGAGAGAGAGCUAGGCUGGUAUACCAAGUUGUUUUCAAUGAUACGUCUUCCAAAUCAAUGAUCGGCUCAGUUAAACUUAAUCUACACUAUUGAAAGUAUUUGGAAACUAAAUUUCAUAAUUUUUUGGCAUCGUUUAUCUAUCAAACGAGUAGUCUAAAAAUGAACGACUGAAAAUAAAAAUCUCAUAAAAAAUGAUGAUAAAAAAUUUGAAUUUAAGAUCAGAGGUAGUGAUCUUACUCUAAAUAGUGACAAGAAUUUUCUAUAAAAAUUUCAUCAGAUCUGAAUUGUUUUAUACCGUUAAAUUCACUAACACAUCACAUCUACCAUUAAAAUUGUCAAUUUUGAGACAUUUUGAUUACUAGCCAAAUGAUUCCGAAAAAUUAUGAAACUUAGUUUCCAAAUCUUUAAUAGUGUAGAUCAAGUCUAACGGAGCCGAUCGUCGAUUUGGAAGCCACAUCAUUGAAAACAACUUAGUAGCACGGAGACCUCCGUGCUACCGAUAGUAUACCAGCAUAGCUCAUAUAUAUAUAUAUAUAUAGUUGGACUGGGCUACUAUUAGUAGCAAAAUCCCAUUGUUGCUACCAAUUUUUUAGCCUUUGGAUCAACUCUUUUCAUUAUUUCUAACCAUUGGAUUAAAUACUAUAACCCAGUGGGGACCACUCAACCCUAGGGGAACCACUCAACUCUAACCGAUUAAUAUCAUUCUGACCGUACAAUUUUUCAUCCAAGGGUUAAAAACUUGAUAGCAAAAAGAGCGUUUUACUAUUAAUAGUAUUACAGCCUAAUUCUAUAUAUAUAUAUAUAUAUAUAUAUAUAUAUAUUUUGUUAUUGAUAAUUUGAUUUAAUUUGAUUUAAUGAUUUAAUAGUGUUUCAUAAUAAAAUUCUUGUUAAUUGUGUUAUAUAUUUAUAUUUAAUUGUAUAUUGAUUUAAUUUGAUUUAAUAGUGUUUCCUAAUUGUAAUUAUAAUUAUAUUUAAUUGAUAUAUUUGAUUUAAUUUGAUUUAAUUUGAUUAAUGUGUUCCUAAAAAAUUCUUGUUAAUUGUAUAAUAAUUUAUAUAAUUGCUAUAAUUUGAUUUAAUUUGAUUUAAUAGUGUUUCUAUUGUAUAUAUAAUUAUAUUUAAUUGGUAUAAUUUGAUUUAAUUUAUUUAAUUUGAUUUAUUUGAUUUAAUAUGUUUCCUAAUAAAAUUCUUGUUAAUUGAUAUAUAUAAUUAUAUUUAAUUGGUAUAAUUUGAUUUAAUUUGAUUUAUAGUGUUUCUCUAAUUGUAUAUAUAAUUAUAUUUAAUUGUAAUUUUAAUUGGUAUAAUUUGAUUAAUUUUAUUUAAUUUGAUUUAAUUUGAUUAAUAGUGUUUCCUAAUAAAAUCUGUUAAUGUAUAUAAAAUUAUAUUUAAUUGUAUAAUUUGAUUUAAUUUGAUUAAUAGUGUUUCUAAUUGUAUAUAUAUUAUAUUUAAUUGUAUAAGUUGUUAAUUUGUAUAAUUUGAUUUAAUUGAUUAAUAGUGUUUCAUAAUAAAAUUGUUAUUCUUAUUUGAUUUUGGCACAUUGGCAAGCAUAGAGAAAGGCAAGUGACAGUUUUUGUCACCCCCGCGACAACCGCUAUUGGACCGGGUCGCGGCGCCGACGACAGACCGCGCGAACGGACCGGGAAUCCCUGUAACGCGACAGAGUCUCCAGUAGUCCAAGGCGUCGCAAUCCAAAACAAUCAACGAAUGUUCAACAAGGAACGGAUAUCAAUCCAGAUUGCAUAAGGAUUAUCAAAUACAUAUCUACUUGAUAUUACAAGCAUUCAUUUUACAACCACUCUUUACAUCACAGUUUCAGUUUUACAUUUUUACUUCAAAUUAACAACUUAUUAUUACAUCAGAGUUUACAAGUUUGAUACAUUUUCUCUUCUUAUCUUCUAGACCCCAAGCUAGACUGUCUCAGGGUACUGCUACCUCGGUCUCUGUGGUGGGCGCUAUCUAUCUGAGCACGCCCUCGCGCCGCUCGCCGCACACGAACGACUGAAAACACCAAAACACGUGGGGUGAGAACAACUCAUGGUUCCCAGUGGGUACGGCCACCAAGGGAAAGGCUCGACGAUAGUCCGAGGAGGCACUGCAACAUGUUAGUUCAACAAUAUACAACAGAUAUAUUAUAUUCAUUUGAAAUACAUGCAUGCUCACAAUAUGCGUAUUGAAAUCAUGCAACACUAGUAGAUUCAUUUGAAUUCUACUUUACUUUAGCCAUAACUUUACUCUAAUUUCUAUUACCUUAGGAUCACAACACUAACACACUAGCUUCAAGUAGGUCUAUUUACCUUAGCUUAAGCCUCUAUUUCUAGCUCUAAGGUCCUCUAUACUAUCAUAGCUAACCACCCGACUCGGGCUUCGAGUCAAUCAUCUGGGAUAGUCCGCGCACUGGCUGCUCAACAGGCCUACCGCACUCUCUCUGACUGCACCUCCUAGCGGCGAAAUCGUCGCACACGCUGAACACGGCUCGAGUCACAGACUUGACAUCGGGCGAUCGCGUUGUACUUACCCAGCGUGAGUCGAGACAUGACAUACCGUCUGGCGCGUGAACGGGCUCGCACCACACCCACAACGGUCAUGUCAGACUCAGUCACCUGGAGCACCGCGCAUCGUACUUACCCAGUAUGGAUUCAGUCUACUCUGGCGGUCUGAUCCUCAAAUGGCUUAACAUCCGGCGCGAAAUCGUCGCACACAACGCCACAGAACAAUGGUUCAAGCCCCGGCGGUGAUCUCCAUAUGAUCGCCCAAUCUACCCACCGGUACCAAGCUCGGCGGCAGAAGUCGUCGCCGAACGCCUAAGCUGUACCGAGGGACAUAUAAGUCUGGGAUUCCGGAAUCCACUUACCACAGGUUGAGGUUCAUAGCCACCCUAUACUGUCGACGUAGCUCAUCUAGUGGCUAUACACUUAUACUCAUCAACUAGGUUCCAAUACUCUAGGUUCUAUGCCACAUCAACUUAACCUAGAUCACUUGCUAGUUCUUGUCAUCUCGCCUAGAUGUCCAGCUUCCUAGGUUUACUAGUUCAACCUUGAGUUUAUAACACAAGGUAACAUGCACACACCUAGAUUGUUCGGACUCUAGUUUACUAAUCAAACCUAUGUUCUUUAACAAUUAGGUUAGAUGGCCUUCUCGAUCUAUUUGACAACCUAGUUGUCCCAAUAACUCUAUUUACACUAGUUUAUUAUGUCACUUAUUAGCUCUCUAUUAUCGUACUUGCAUUCUCUACUUUACUAGAUUAUAUAGGCUAUGCUCAUUAUGCUUUACUUAGGACAUUUUCCACCUUGUCAUAAUUAUCAUGCCAUUCUUAGCGUUAACUAGCAUUAAUACUUAGGCAUGCUUUCCAUCUAGCCUUUGCAUCUUAUAUUAAUGCAUGCUCUCUACUUAACAUUUACUAGUAUGGCUAUAUGCAUCAUUAUUUAACAUUCAUUUAAUACUAUGUCAUUUUUCAUCAUGCAUUCCAACUACUUUACUUGCAUUAUUUAUUUAUCUGCUCAUCAUGGCACUUCUUUUAGUUUUCUGCAUAUUAUCUAUGCAUUGUUAUUGAACAUGCAUCUUACUAUACAUCAUGAUUCAUUGUUAACGUUGACAUCCUUUAUUUAGCCUUUACCUGUUCAUAUUUACUAAUGCAUCAUUGAGCCUUCGUCUAUCAUACACAUCGCAUCAACGUGAGAUUACAUGUGCUAAGACAUAAAAGGCCGACCUAGUCGCUGUUCGGUAAGCAACAGCCCACCUGAUUUGCGUUCCGAUUGCUUGUCGACACGUUGCAUCGGCCUCGCCCGAGCACUCGCACCCGUUUGGGCGCCGAACUCUGCGCGACUUAACGAUACGACCUCCGAUCGCGAUCCGCUCUUUUCGGAAGUGGCUGUAUUCCUUGACUGUCCCAAGAUCUCCGGUUCUGAUUCACCGAUUUUUUAGACAGUUUAUUUCGCGUGUGCGCGCUUUCCUACCAAAAACCGACCGUUUCGUCAAUAACGUUACGCGUACACUAGUCGUAUUGUGCGAAUCUGAGCAUUCAUCGCGUUCGUUAGGAUCCCCAAUUAGGUUUCCAACGGUCAAUAAUAAAACCCCAUAUGAGCAAACCCUCUUUUGGGAUGCUCUAAUAUGACAUAUGCUUCAAUACUCGAUUCGAUCUAUAAACAAGCAAAAGAGAGCUUGUCCAGUUCUUAGAGCUCAUUUUGGACCAUUAAAACCAUAUCAUAGGUGUUAGAACAAACCUAAAAUCACCAUUAAGGCAUUAUGAAGAACACCAUGGAUUUCAUGUUUUGGCUCUACGAAGUUCUAAUAUGCUUGUAGGUAGAUACAAACACCAAAGAUCGAGGUUUAAAACCCAUUUACAAAAAUCUACAUGGAGGAGCUUGUGAAGCUACUCUCGUAAGCUCCAGUGGAGUGAAGAUGAAGAGAUGAAUGAUGGAUGAUGAUGCUCUUCUCCUCUUUCAUCCCUCCUUUUCUCUCCUUUCUCCAUUUUUUUUCUUUUUUUCCUUUUCAUCUCUUUCUGAAACGGUGAGAGAGAGGGAGAAGACACGAGAGAGAAGAGAUGAGGAGAGAUCUGCCUGUGAGGGAGAGGGGGUUUAGGGCUAUUACAUUAGUAACAAUUGCCAAAUAAACCCUAAUCAUUUAUAUUGCCAGCAGCUAAUUCUAUGCAAAUUCAUGCCAAAGUGUACCGUACACUUUCCCGUCACCGAGUUGUUUACAGGGCCUUUUUCACGAAAAACCCGAGAGUUGCAUAUUCUUCGGGUCGCUUGUUGUAUACCGGUUACAACCAUCAAUUUACCGGUACACAAUGCUCAGACUUGUUUUUAGCUUGUUUCGACCAUUUCGCGCCGAACAACUGCUAACACUUUCUAACUGCUUUAGAAAUCAUUCUUAACCCCUCCAACCUUUGAUAGAAUGUUAACUGGAAGUCGUCCAUUUCAUCUGAUUCGCAUACUUUAGCAAAUUUGGCUAAGCUCGUUUUCGUCCAAACCUCGGGGUUAAUUUUACAACAAAGUGUCUACUUUAGUGUGAUAGUAGAAUAGAAUUCAGUUAGUAUAUAUAUAUAUAUAUAUUUAUAUAUUAAUAUAUAUAGUAUAUAUAUAUAUAGAGUCGGCUACUAUAACGUAUGUACAUAAGACUUGGUAUUAUUGGUUUUCUACCGUUGUAUCUACCGGUUGAUCAUUUCCACCCGUAUAGAUUAUAUCUAUUAAACCAACUACCCAUCAACCAAGGGGACGCACUGUCAAUUAGAUCGGGGACCACUAUCAUCUCUGAACGCAAUAUCCUAUUCAUCCAACGCCAAAACUCAAUAGUUACCAAGGCCUUGUACUAUUGAUAUAUAUGUAGCAUACAUUAGUAUAUAUAUUAUAUAUAAUAUAUAUAUAUAUAUAUAUAUAAAAGAAGAGAGAGAGAGAGAGAGAGAGAGAGACGACGAGAGAGAGAGAACGAGAGAGUGGCGGCUAGGGAUUGCUUUAUGGAGCACGAGGGCUCCGUGAUCACUUUGUUUUCGUGUUGGACUUUCAACAUGAUCGCUCCGCUAGAUUGAUCUAGAGGAUUUGAAUAAUCUAGAAAAUAAUUUGUUGCGAUUUUUCGAUAUACAUUUGCUAGUGAUCAAAGUGCUCCAAAGAUCAACGGUGAAAAUAAAAAUCUUACAAAAUAUGAUGAUAUGCAAUUUAAAUUUAGAUCAAAUUAAUUGAUCUUGUUUAUAUGGUAUAAAGAAUUUUUCUAUCAAAAAUUUUUUCAUUGUGAUUUGAUAUUUACAUCCAAUUAAACCUGCAACCGCUUCCAGGCCAUUUUAAAUUAUUGAUUUUGACCCGUUCGAUUUAUUAGGGCAAAUGACAUCGAAAAUAACACAAAUUUAUUUUCUAGGUACUUCAAUACUCUAGAUCAACUCUAAUAGAGCCGAUCGUCGAUUCGAAAGUCGAACAUCGAAAAACAACUUGGAAGCACGGAGGCUCCGUGGCUCCAGAAGCAUAGCCAGCCAUGCUCUUAUAUAUAUAUCAAGUCUAAGGAGUCCGAUCGUCAUUUGGAAGCCGCAUCAUCGAAAUCUAACUUGUAGCUACGGAGCCUCCGGUGUACCAGUGUUUUCGAUGACGACGAUCUCAUCCAUUAGACUUGAUCUUACUUUAAAAGUAUUUAGAAACUAAAUUUCAUAAUUUUUCGAUACGUCAUUUAUCCUAUCAAACAAGUAAGUCUAAAUAUGAACGCUUGAAAGUAAAAAUCCAUAUAAAAUAAUAAUAAAAGAUUGUUAAAUUCAGAUCAGAUAACGAAUCUUACUCUAAAUAGUGAAAAGAAUUUCUAUUAAAUUUCAUCGAUUUGAUUGUUUUACNNNNNNNNNNNNNNNNNNNNNNNNNNNNNNNNNNNNNNNNNNNNNNNNNNNNNNNNNNNNNNNNNNNNNNNNNNNNNNNNNNNNNNNNNNNNNNNNNNNNNNNNNNNNNNNNNNNNNNNNNNNNNNNNNNNNNNNNNNNNNNNNNNNNNNNNNNNNNNNNNNNNNNNNNNNNNNNNNNNNNNNNNNNNNNNNNNNNNNNNNNNNNNNNNNNNNNNNNNNNNNNNNNNNNNNNNNNNNNNNNNNNNNNNNNNNNNNNNNNNNNNNNNNNNNNNNNNNNNNNNNNNNNNNNNNNNNNNNNNNNNNNNNNNNNNNNNNNNNNNNNNNNNNNNNNNNNNNNNNNNNNNNNNNNNNNNNNNNNNNNNNNNNNNNNNNNNNNNNNNNNNNNNNNNNNNNNNNNNNNNNNNNNNNNNNNNNNNNNNNNNNNNNNNNNNNNNNNNNNNNNNNNNNNNNNNNNNNNNNNNNNNNNNNNNNNNNNNNNNNNNNNNNNNNNNNNNNNNNNNNNNNNNNNNNNNNNNNNNNNNNNNNNNNNNNNNNNNNNNNNNNNNNNNNNNNNNNNNNNNNNNNNNNNNNNNNNNNNNNNNNNNNNNNNNNNNNNNNNNNNNNNNNNNNNNNNNNNNNNNNNNNNNNNNNNNNNNNNNNNNNNNNNNNNNNNNNNNNNNNNNNNNNNNNNNNNNNNNNNNNNNNNNNNNNNNNNNNNNNNNNNNNNNNNNNNNNNNNNNNNNNNNNNNNNNNNNNNNNNNNNNNNNNNNNNNNNNNNNNNNNNNNNNNNNNNNNNNNNNNNNNNNNNNNNNNNNNNNNNNNNNNNNNNNNNNNNNNNNNNNNNNNNNNNNNNNNNNNNNNNNNNNNNNNNNNNNNNNNNNNNNNNNNNNNNNNNNNNNNNNNNNNNNNNNNNNNNNNNNNNNNNNNNNNNNNNNNNNNNNNNNNNNNNNNNNNNNNNNNNNNNNNNNNNNNNNNNNNNNNNNNNNNNNNNNNNNNNNNNNNNNNNNNNNNNNNNNNNNNNNNNNNNNNNNNNNNNNNNNNNNNNNNNNNNNNNNNNNNNNNNNNNNNNNNNNNNNNNNNNNNNNNNNNNNNNNNNNNNNNNNNNAGCGCUAUUGCUUACCAAAACGACGUUUGGUCUAACUUCGAGUUAUACAUGUCGGGUUGUCGAAUGGAGAUUUAUCGUGUUGUUAGGUCCCCAAUUUAGGUUUCCAAGCUGGUCAAAUAGAUCAAACCACAUCUGGCAAACCUCUUUGAGGAUGCCCUCAUGAUGGAAUAUGCUUUCCUACGAUUUCGAUCUUAUAAAGAGCAAGCAAAGGAGGGCUUGUCGAGUUCUUAGAGCUCAUUUAGGGACUAUUUUAACAUUCAUGGGGGGUGUUUUAGAACAAAGCCUAGAAAUCCCCUUAGGCAUUAUUGAAGAAAACAUGGAUUCAUGUGUUCUUGGCUUCGGAAGUUCUAAGCUAUGUAAGGUAGAUUCAACAAACGAUCGAGGGUUUAACCAUCCUACAAAAAAGUCUACCAUGAGAGGCUUGGAAAGCUUACGCUUCCUAGAGUCAAGGAGAGAAGAGAUGAAUGAGGAUGAGUGAUGGUGAUGAUUCUUCUUCCUCACUCUUCUCCUUGUUUUUCUUUUCCUUUAUUGCUAUUCAUCUUUUUCUUCUCUUUUCUUCGAACAGUUGAGAGAGAGAGGGAGAGAACGAGGAAGAAUGACGGGGAGAGAUAAUGAUGUGAGGAGCGAAGGGGUUUAGGGCUAUUUAAUUACGGGUAAACAUUGCAAAUAAACCCCUCAUAUUUAUAAUGUAGCCCCCCCAGCAGAUAUUUCUAUGCCAAUUAUUGCAAAGCUGUACCGUACACUUCUCCAUGUCGACAGUGUUUUUUUCAGCUUUUUCCUAAACCGAGGAGUUGCUUUCUUCGGGUCGCUUUUGUACCGGUACAACCAUCAAUAUGUACGGUUACACAAUGUCAGACUUGAUUUUUAGCUUAGUUUUCGAUCUAUUCGCGCCGAAACAAGUAAACGUUUCUAAUUUUUGAACUAGCAUCUGUAACCCCUCAACCUUGAUAGAAUGUUUAAUGGAAAUCGUCAUUCAUCUUAUUGAUAUUUUAGCUAAUUUGGCUAAGCUCGUAUUUUUUCCCAAAAUCGGUGGUUAAUGUUUUAACAAAGGGUUUCUUUAGUGUUGUAAAUUAGAUUAGUUAGUAUAUAUAUUAUAUAUGAUUAUAUAUAUAUUAUUUAAUAUAUGGAAUAUAUAGAGGUCCGGCCUACUUAUCUGUUGAAUCGUACUAAGACUGGUUUAUUGAGUUUUUACGUUGAUCUACGUGAUCAUUUUCAACCGUUAGAUUAAUACUAUUAACAAAAUAGCCAUAAACAAGGGGACACUGUAUUUAAUCUGGGGAGCACUAUAUCCUAACCGAUAUCCUUUCAUUCAAGGCCAAAAUCAAUAGUACCAAGGGCUUUGUACUAUGAUUAGUUGUAGAUAAUUACUAUAAUAUUAUAUAUAUAUAUAUAUACUUAGUAUAUAUAUUAUAAGAGAGAUGAGAAGAGAGUGAGCAUCAAGAUUGCUGAGAUUGGCGGGAUCGAUGAGAGAGGAGAUGAGAGAGAGAGUGCAGGCUAGGAUGAUUAUAGAAGACUGGUAGGCUCCGUGCUUUCCACUUUGUUUUCGAUGGUGCGGAAUUUCGAAUCGAUUGAAUCGGUCGAUAGACUUGAUCUAGGUAUUUGAAGUUUAGGGAAAUAAUUUUUUUGGCGAUUUUUCGAUUUCAUUGCCUGAGUCGAUCAAGUGGCUCAAAUCAACGGAUUGAAAUAAAUCUUAAAAAAUAUGAUGAUAUUGACAUUAUAAAUUUUUGAUCAAAGUUAUAUGAUUUGUUUUAAUAUGGAUAUAAAGCAAUUUUCUAUCAAAUUUCAUGCUGAUUUGGAUAUUUCUACAACCAGUUAAACUGUGCACCGGAUUACAGGCCCUUUAAUUAUUGAUUUUGAGCCCUUCGUUAGUUAGGACAAAUGACAUCGAAAAUCACAAAUUUAUUUUAUAGUAUUCAAAUCUGAUAGUAUCAACUCUAAUAGAGCCCGAUGUCGAUUCGAAAGUGAAACAUCGAAACAAAUUGGAAGCACGGCAGGCUCCGUGCUCCAAGAGCAUACGGCCAGUCUCUCUUAUAUAUAUUAUAAGUCUAACGGAGCGAUCGUCGUUUGGAAGGCAUCAUCGAAACAACUUGGUGCACCGGAGCGGUCAGUGUCAAGUUUUGUUUUCGAUGAUCGGUACGAUCGGCUCAUUAGACUUGAUUUACUAUUAAAAGUAUUUAGAAACGUUAAUUUCAUAAUUUUUGAUUCCAUUUACUAUCAAAGGUGUCUAAAAUUGAACGGCUGAAAAUAAAAAUAUCAUAUAAAAUGAGUAUAAAAGAUUUAAAUCAAGAUCAGAUAUAAUAAUUUGCUCUAAUAGUGGAAUAUAAGAAUUUUCUGAUUAUAAUUUUCAUAUGGAUUUGGAUUGUUUUACACGUUACUCUCAACCACCACAUCGGCAUUUUAAAUUGUCAUUAUUGAAGGAUCUUUUGAUUCACUAAGUCAAUGAUGAAGUCGAAAAAUAUGGUGAAUUUUGUUUCCAAAUACUUUCAUAGUAUGUGAUACAAGUCUAAUGGAGCGAUACUUCGAUUUGAAGCCGCAUGCAGUCGAAAACAGUGGUAGUACGGAGUCGUGAGCUUCGAUACAACGGGCCUUUUGACAUCAUUUGUUUUCGAUGGAAGAGCCUCCAAUCGACGAUCGGCACGCUUGAUGAUCUAUAUUGAAGUUAUUUAGAAAUUAAAUUUCAAAUCUUUCGACAUCGAUUUUAAAAUAAUGAUCAAAGGGUUUCAAAAUUGUGUAAUUUUAUAUGCGUGAUAUGAGGGUUUUCUCGUUUAUCUUUACGGCAAACGUAGAUAUCAAAUCAAUUUGAAUUUUUGUUAGAAAUUCUCUUAACUAUUUAAAAAAAGACUCCUCUACUCUUCGAUACUCUGAUCUACAAGUAUCUAUAUCAUUUUUAAGAAUCUUCAUUUUCGGUUAUUUUUGUGUCCACUUGAUGGAUAAGAGAGUAUAUCGAAAAUGUUAUGAAUGAUUAAAUUUUAAUCUUCAAUGGUAUAGAUCUAUGUUUACGGUUGUGAUAUCAAUUUGGAGGCUCCUCUCGAAAACAAUGGGUGGGAAACAGUGUCGUUUGCUUACGAUAGUAUUUAGCUCAACUCUCUUCUCUCUUCUCUCUUCUUUCUCUCUCUCUUCACCAAUUAAAUAUAAUUAUAUAUACAAUUAACUAGAAUUUUAUUAGGAAACACUAUUAAACACUAUUAUUAUAAUUAUACUCAAAUAUAGAAUAGCAAUUUUAUUAGGAAACACUAUUAAAUCAAAUUAAAUCAAAUUAUACCAAUUAACAAAUUAUACCAAUUAAAUAUAAUUAUAUAUACAAUUAACUAGAAUUUUAUUAGGAAACACUAUUAAACACUAUUAUUAUAAUUAUACUCAAAUAUAGAAUAUCAAUUUUAUUAGGAAACACUAUUAAAUCAAAUUAUACCAAUUAAAUAUAAAUAUAUAUACAAUUAACUAGAAUUUUAUUAGGAAACACUAUUAAAUACUAUUAAAUCAAAUUAUAAUUAUAUGUAUAAUUAAAUCAAAUUAAAUCAAAUAAAAUGUUUAUCAUGAAUCUUUCUAUGUGCUUACCACAUGUCAAACUCAAAUAUAGUAAUUAGGUGGUUAAAAAUAGAACUUUAUAAUGAAACACUAUUAAAUCAAAUUAAAUCAAUUAUCAAAUUAUACCAAUUAAAUAUAAUUAUAUAUACAAUUAACUAGAUUUUUAUUAGGAAACACUAUUAAACACUAUUAUUAUAAUUUUACUCAAAUAUAGAAUAACAAUUGUAUUAGGAAACACUAUUAAAUCAAAUUAAAUCAAUUUAUACCAAUCACAUGCUCAAAUUGAAUAGCAAUUUUAUUAAAUAUAGAAUAGCAAUUUUAUUAGGAGUUUCCAAUCACAUACUCAAAUUGAAGCAAUGUGCUCCUGUGAUGUUAUUGAGAAACAUAGACAAGUCUUAAGGUUUAUGCAAUGGAACCAGAUUAGUGAUCACUCAGUUGGGAAAACACAUACUAGAAGCAAAAGUGAUUUCUGGGAGCAAUAUUGGGGAGAAGGUGUUUAUACCCCGUAUGGUGAUUACUCCAUCAGACUCCAAGUUACCUUUUAAAAUGCAACGAAGGCAAUUUUCGUUGGCUGUUUGUUUUGCUAUGACAAUAAACAAGAGUCAAGGUCAAUCGUUAUCACAUGUUGGAUUGUAUCUACCUAGACUGACAUUCAGUCAUGAUCAGUUAUAUGUUGUAAUAUCUAAAGUUCGAAGUAAGAACGGAUUGAAAAUUCUAAUUUGUGAUAAAGAUGGUUUGUUAUCCAAAACCACAAGCAAUGUAGUUUUUAAAGAAGUGUUUCAGAACUUAAAAUAGGUAAGCGGAUUAUUUUUCUUUAUGUUAUUUCAAAAAUUUACAAUUUUUUAACAAUUCAACUCUGUCAUUUUUUUAAAAAAAUAAAUUUAGAUAUUUUUCUAAAAAAAUUCACUAAUAUUAUAAUAUUUAUCAUUUCACUUAUCUAACAAUUUAUCUAUAUUGUUAUUGGAGCAGGUACUUUCCAUCUUCAUGCAACAAAGUUUUUUUUUCCUUCAUAUUUUCUUGAAGACCAACAUCUAUAUAUAUUUGAAUCUUGGAAGUUGGUAUGUCUCUCAUAUACAUGCGCUUACUCUAUUUUAUGUCAAACAUGGAAGUUUAGUUGAUCUCAUUAUAUGCUUAAAUAUUAAUAUUAUUUGUAAUUUUUCAUAUCAACUUGAGUUAUAAUUUUGUUUCUCUAGUUAGCUUUUGUACUUUAAUAUGUAUUAUAAUUAAGAUUGAUAGUAUAUUUCUUUAUUUAUUAAAAAAAAUAUAAUAUUAAUUAGAAUAUUUUUCUUUUAUCAUCACAUAAAAACUUUUGUUAUUUUAUAUUAUUAUAUUAGCCGUGCAUCGCACGGGUCAAAUACUAGUACUACUAAUAGCACCAAACUAUCGGUGCUAUUAGGUUUUUGUCCCUUUGAUGAAAGAAUGUACGGUUAGAAUAAUGUGGACCCUCUGAGGUUGAGUAAGUUGUUGGUUGAAUAGUAUAAUCUAACGGGUGAAAAUAGUCAAAUGGUUAAAUCUAACAGUGGAAAACUCAGCAGCACUAAGUGCUUGGUACUAUCAAUAGUAUCCCAUCCGAACUCUCUCUCUGUCUCUCUCUCUCUAUAUUAUAUAUAUGAUUAAACAAACGAAAAAUGGGCUACUAUUACAUGAGUAGCUAAACCACAAAUAAAAUUGUUAAUAAUUUUGAUUUAAAUAAACAUUUCAACGAAAAGCAUAAUAAGAUUUGAAAAAUUCUAGUCCUAACUACAUUAAUUAGGACCGUCAACAGGUCGGAUUUGGGGCAGGAACCGAACUUGAACCUGACUAACAAAUCAGAAACCCGAACCCGAACCCAAACCCGACGGAUUUUAAAAAUCCAUAUCCAAAUCCGAACCCGACCAAAAAUCCGAAAUCCAAACCCAAACCCGAAAACCCGAACCCGAAUCCGAAAAAAAUCCGAAUCCGACCAAAAACCCGAAACCCGAUUCUAAACCUGAAAACCCGAACCCGAAAAUAAUAUUUACCAAAUUUCGAAACAUAUUAUACAAAAAACUAAAAACAAAAGAUUUAUAAAAAUUUUAAAAAAAAUAGUUUCAUUGCCCAACAACCCAUAAGAUCUAAGAGAGUAUUAAAAAUACUAAUUAAGAGAAAAAUAAAAUAAAAUUUUUUUAAAAUUUUUUUUAAAAAAGAUAGUUCUAUUGUCCAACAACCUACAAGAACUAAAAGGCUAAACUUAAAAAAAUAAGAAAAAAAAGAACAUAUAUGAAGAAUCAAAAAAAUCCACAUCAAAGAAGCAACUUCAAUUUUUAAAUUUUUUUUUAAAAAAUUCUCACCUUUUCUCUUCUUAGGUUUGAGAUUGUGGUUCUUGGAGAGAAAACAAUAAACCAAAAUACCCUCUUAGAGAAGAAUGAACAAGAGACUAUAUAAGUUUACAACCAAAUUAGGGUUUGGAGAUGAAGAGGGUUUGGAAAAUGGAAAGGCUUUGAAAUAGUUUAUCUUUUGAUGUUUUAACUAUUAGGGUUUGGAGAUGGAGAGAGUUUAGAAAAUAGAAAGGUUUUAAUUUUUGAAUAUUAGGAUUUGGUUUUGGGAAAUGGGAAGGUUUUGAUUUUUGAAUAUUAGGGUUUAGGUUAUAAAGAUAUAUAUUUUUUGGUUUAGAUUAUAAAAGUGUAAGUAUUUAUUGGCCUUUAGAUUCGGAUCUAAUGGUUUAAAUUUAUAUAUAUAUAUAUAUAUAUAUAUAUAUAUAUAUAUAUAUAUAUAUGUCAUAUUAAAUUUGUUCAGGUUCGGGUUGGGUUCGGAUUUUUUAAAAAUAUCCAUAUCCGAACCCGAAUCCGUCGAAUUUUUUUUUUAAUAUCCAUACCUGAAUCCAUAUACAUUUCUAUCGAAUAAAAUUCGCUCGGUUAAGAUAAAAUUCAAGUAUUCAUAUCCAUUUACAUCCCUAACAUUAAUAGUCUCUGGAGGGGCCUAAGGCCUCCGCUACCAUCCCAGACCUUUUGAAAAAUUUCCAUUUAUUUACACUUCAAAAAAUUUCAGAUCGCAUAAUAAGAUUUUGAAAAAAAUAAAAAUGCCUGAUGAGGUUGGUGAUUUUGCUUUAUUUUAGGCAAAUGCGAAUUACUUUUGAUUAAUGACGGUCCCUCUCUAUUUGGAUUCAAGUCCCUUUCAAUUAAGAUUGAACCAUUCAUCACUGCAAUCAAAAUAUGGGAUUUAAAUAGCCUGAUUGAAUUGCUUAGUACACUAAACUUUAGGGACAUUUUCAAUUUUAAAUCCAAUUUUACUAGCACACACGAAGUAUAGGAAACUUAAAAAUGUCUUAUCUCCCUCCAUGCUUUAAUUUACACUGUUUAUGAGCUUUGGCACUGAAAUAUAUUGUUGAAGUUUGAUAUGCUACCCCAAAAGCUAAAAAGUCAUUAUUCGUUGGAUAUGAAACAUGAGAAUCGAGAAAAAGAAAAGAAAAUAAAACAAAACGUAAAAGUAAUUGAGUGAGGCUACUAUGCUUUUGGAAAUACGGAAUCUUUCGUACUUUCAGGUCGUUUUUGAUAUUGCGACUUUCGAAUCGUCGAUCAGCUCCAUUAAACUUGAUUUAGAGUAUUUGAAGUACCUAGAAAAUAAAUUUUAUGAUUUUUUGAUAUUAUUUGCCUAGUGAUCGAAGGAGCUUAAAAUCAAUACUUUUAAUGGCCGUAGUGAGCCGUUUGCAAGUUUAACGGUGUAGAAAUAUCCAAAUCACGUGAAAUUUUGAUAGAAAAUUCUUUAUACUAUAUAAAAUAAUAUCAAUAUCUUUGAUCUAAAAUUUUAAUGUCAUAUUAUCACGUUUUGUAAAAUUUUUAUUUUUAGCCGUUGAUUUUGAGCCCCUUCGUUCACCAGGCAAAUAAUAUCGAAAAAUCGCAUAAUUUAUUUUCUAGAUACUUCAAAUACUCUAGAUCAAAUUUAACGGAGUCGAUCGAUGAUUCAAAAGUCGCAACAUGAAAAACGAUCUGGAAGCACGGAAGGCUCCGUGCUUUCAGAAGCAUAGUAACCUCACUCAAAGUAAUUUACAUUAUUUAGGAGCUAUCCUACAUCUUUGGCCGACGACGAAGCAAAAAUUUUGGCCUCAUUUGAUGUCAUUUUUAUUUUUUAUUUUUUAAAUAGAAUUAUAUCUAUCUAUACUACUUACAAAAGAGGAGUUUUAAAAUUUUUUUCUUUCCCAAGAUGUCAGUCCCUAUUAAUAUAAUUCCAAUCACAUAGUAGCAAUAUCCUUAAUUCAACUUUAAUAGAAUAAAUAACAGUCAUACAAUUUUUAUUUUAUUUUUAAAUUAUUAUAAAAUAUAUUAAUACUUAGUCAUUGGAUCUAAUGUCACGCUCCGGAUAUCACGUUCCCCGGGCACGCCGACAUAAUCCGCCGUAUACAAAGAAAUUUUUCCUAUAUACGAAGCGAAGCUGUAACUGUACCUGUAAUAAUACAACACUACAACCAGUAAUAUAGAGCUGCUAGGGAAAAAGAACAUGCGUAUAUAAUAAAAAUGGAUCAGUACAUACACAGUAUCUUGGUACAAAAAUACUCGCUCCAGCGAGGUAUAACAUCAGUAUGUAAUGAACCAAAAACUACAACUACCUGUGGCUGGUACUCCACUAGCUCUGCCUCGUCUAGUAGGGCUCUAACUCGCGACGCCCUUGUCACGAUCAAGAUUAGCAGCAGCCGACGACGAUGGCUCUGCAAAACGAAAAGGAACAACAGGGCGUGAGAACUACUGUAUAAACAAGUAGUCCUCAGUGGGUGCAGCUCUCAACAACGUCGGUCCACUCACUAAGUCUACAGAAGGGAGCAAGAAUAGUAGGAAAUGAUGGAAGAAAAUCUACAGCUACAAACCAUUAUACUAUCAUGCUCUACUCUAUCCAACUGUAGUAAAUGUCAAUUCUGACCAAAUCCAACUGGGACUGUAAGCCUACCCGUCCCUGGGACUGUGAACACACCCGUCCCGCCCGAUUGCGACUAUACAGCUAUCUCAACACUAAUCGGUCCGUGAAGAGCAAGCCUGCACGAACGACACCAACGCGAAAGCACAACGCCCGUCUCUGGAGUGGCACUCGUGGGAGCUAUCCAACCGAGUAUGCAGCGUAUCUCUGUCUAGCUCCAUCAGGCUCUCACAAGCCAAAAUCAAGUAACAGGGUCCAACCGGUCUAACAACCAACAAGUCACGUGCCCUCAGCACAAUCUGACGCCAAAACGGCGAUAGGGGUCCACCGUCAACCCCGACGGCCCCCCAACAGUCCGGAACAGUCUGAACACUACUGUAAAAAUACACUCGGCAUCUCAGCGCGAGCGUAACUGAAAUCUAAACCACCUGGGGUAUCCACCACACUGAUACUGCAGCGAUACAAAAUAACAACGGCUCCUAGAGCUAAAUCAGGUAGUUUAAGCAUAUGACAGGUCAUAAUCGUUGUUUUCUCCUAAGUCAAAUUCCAGUCCAAUAUGUGCUAGUAGAUACAUGCAACGAGGAAGCUCCAAUUCAGAUUUUACAUGGAAUAUACCAAAAUUCAUGAACUGAGCAAAAUCUAUCAACACAACAACACAUAUUGACCAACUAUAUAUUUAGAAGACAAACCGACGAUUAACCCACCUCGAUAGCUAAUCCCAAUCCGGCGCGACGUCGAGAACGGCGAAAUCGCACCCUCGCCCGGCUUCCUCGCGAUGCUACGACGAUGAAGACACACUCGAACGGCACCGCGGCGCGACGUUGGCGAAACUCGAACUCCACCCAAGCUCUUCCUUGCUCGGCCGAUGCUAGAGAGAGAGAGGAAAAGAAGCAAGUAGAAUACUCUCUCUCAGCCUCUCUACACAUGUAAAUAGUGAAGGGGUGGAGUGGUGACACGUACGAGGCACGAAAUUACCAAAAAGCCCUGUACCUACUCAGGUGUACCGGUACACGGGCAAAUGUACCGGUAUAAAUGGCAACCCGAGAGCAGCUGCGUAAAAUCUAUCGAAGUGUACCGGUACGCCCCUGAUGUUGUACCGAUACAGAAAGUGUACCGGUACGCCUUGAUGGUUGUAUCGGUACAACAAGCAGAAAAUCUGCUGUUUGCAGAUUCCAAUGCCAAGUCCUGCUCCCGCGUCCCCGCUGAGUCCGUUUUGCGUCUAUUUCGCGCCCACGUGACUCGGACUUGUCCCGACACUCUCCAGAGCUGUCGACAAGCCUCCCUGCUAAACACCAGGGAUACCAUAUCCUCCCCCACUACAAAAAGUUUCGUUCUCGAAACUUAAACAUACCUCAGCUCUGGGCAUCGAACAGAUAGGGGUAGGACUUCCUCAUCACCGUCUCAGGCUCCCAAGUCGCCUCCCGCUCCUCGUGAUUACUCCACUGCACUUUUACAUACAGGAUGACCCAAUUACGCAAUUCUUUCGUCUCCCGAGCAAAAAUCCGCAACGGUCGCUCCUCGUAUCUCAGAUCCUCGCCAAUCUCUAGUGGAGUGAAGUCGAUCACGUGAGAAGGAUCAAACACAUAUCUCCUCAAUGCCGAGAUGUGGAAGACAUCAUGAAUGCCAGCUAGUCGCGGGGGUAGAGCGAUCCUGUAGGCAACUGGUCCAACUCGCUUCAAUACCUCAAAAGGGCCAACGAAAUGUGGACUAAGCUUUCCACGUACUCCAAAUCGACGAAUCCCUCUGGACGGCGAGACUUUGAGGAAAAUAUGAUCUCCAACCUGGAACUCUAAGUCUCGUCUCCUGGUAUCGGCGUAGCUCCUCUGGCGGCUCUGGGCUGUCAAAAGGUGUCGUCAAACAACUCUCACCUUUUCUUCAGCCUCUAGCAAGAUCUCAGGCCCUAGUGUCCUCCUCUCACCCACAUCACUCCAAAACAGAGGGGAUCGACAUCUGCGUCCAUACAACGCCUCAAACAGAGCCAUAUGGAUGCUCGUUUGAUAGCUGUUGUUGUACGCAAACUCAGCCAGUCUCAAAUGUCGAUACCACUCUCCUCCAAAAUUCAGGACGCAUGCUCUCAGCAUGUCCUCUAGAGCCUGAAUGGUCCGCUCUGACUGACCAUCUAUCUGUGGGUGAAACGCCGUGUUGAAAUGCAGCGUGUACCCAAGGUUGUCUGAAGACUCCGCCAAAAGUGUGAAACAAACCUCGGGUCCCUGUCCGAUACAAUCGACAUCGGCACACCAUGCAGCCUGACGAUCUUAUCCAAGUAUAGCUGUGCGAGUCUCUCUCUGGACCAGGUGGUCUGAACCGGUAAGAAGUAAGCAGACUUCGUCAGUCUGUCCACUAUCACCCAAAUAGCAUCGAAACCACCCUGUGCUCUCGGCAACCCCACAACAAAAUCUAUCGUGAUCUGCUCUCAUUUCCACUUGGGCACUGGCAGACUCUGAAGCUUGCCAGUAGGUACCUGAUGCUCGGCCUUCACCUGUUGACAAGUCAGACACUUAGCCACAAAUCUGCCAAUAUCCCUCUUUAUUCCGUUCCACCAAAAUUGUGCCUUCAAGUCCUUAUACAUUUUGGUUCCACCAGGGUGAACCGUAUAAGGAGAACAAUGAGCUUCUCUCAAAAUAUCCGCUCGGAUCUCUGCAUCCAUAUGCACACACAGUCGGUCCCUGUACCGUAGUACUCCCGAACUAUCCACAGUAAAACCCUCAGCCUGUCCAUUAUCUAGCUGCUCUCGAAUUCUCGACAAGUGUGGAUCUCCACUCUGUUUCUCUCGAUCCUAUCCAACAGAGUGGGCUGCAAAACCAAAGACAUCAGUCUCGCAGUAGAUCCAGGGGACAUUAUCUUGAGCCUCAGCCGCUGCAGCUCCUCAAGUAACGGCCUCUGCUGUGUGAUCAUCAAACUCAAGCUCCGCACUGCCUUCCUGCUCAACGCAUCUGCCACCACAUUCACCUUGCCGGGAUGAUACUGAAUACUAACGUCAUAGUCCUUCAGUAACUCCAACCACCGGCGCUGCCUCAGGUUCAGCUCCCUCUGGGUUAACAGAUACUUGAGACUCUUAUGGUCGGUGAAAACCUCGCAGUGCUCGCCAUACAAGUAAUGCCGCCACAACUUCAACGCAAAGACUACCGCGGCAAGUUCCAAGUCAUGUAUAGGUUAAUUCUUCUCAUAAUCCUUUAACUGCCGUGAAGUAUAAGCAAUUACCCUACCAUGCUGUAUCAGCACACAGCCUAGCCCACUGUGCGAUGCAUCACUGUAAAUCACAAAUCCUUCCCCCAUCACAAGAAGGGCAAGGAUAGGAGCUGACAUCAAUCUCUGUCUCAACUCAUCAAAGCUCCUCUGACAGUCCUCACUCCAUACAAAACGAAUCCCCUUUCGAGUCAAUCGAGUGAGGGGUGUGAAAAGUUUCGCAAAGCCUUCCACAAACCGACGGUAAUACCCUGCCAGUCCCAGAAAACUCCUCACCUCAGCCACCGUCGUCGGUCUAGGCCAACCCCGAAUAGAAUCAAUCUUUUUCGGGUCCACUGCUACUCCCUCCGCAGAAAUCACAUGGCCUAAGAAAGCAACCUCCCGUAACCAGAACUCGCACUUCUUUAACUUGGCAUACAACUUCUUCUCUCGCAGAAGUUGUAGCACAAUCCUCAAGUGCUCCUCAUGCUCGGCAUUGCUCCGCGAGUAUAGCAAAAUAUCAUCGCUGAAGACUACUACAAAUCUAUCCAAGAACGGCUUGAACACCCUGUUCAUCAAAUCCAUGAAGGCGGCAGGGGCAUUCGUCAAUCCAAAAGGCAUCACAGUAAACUCAUAAUGCCCGUACCGAGUCCGAAAAGCCGUCUUGGGAACAUUCUCGGCCCUCACCCUCAGCUGGUGGUAACCGGACUGGAAAUCAAUUUUCGAGAAGACACAAGAUCCUUGCAGCUAAUCAAACAGAUCAUCGAUGCGCGGCAAAGGAUACUUGUUCUUGAUGGUCACCUUAUUCAGCUCCCGAUAAUCCACACAUAACCUGAGCGAACCAUCCUUCUUCUUUACAAAUAACACCGGCGCUUCCCAAGGCGAUAUACUGGGCCUUACAUAUCCCUUAUCCAUCAGAUCCUGAAGCUGCGCCUUUAGCUCUCUCAGCUCCGCUGGUGCUAUUCGAUAAGGUACCUUUGAGAUUGGUGCAGUUCCAGAAACUACAUCAAUCACAAACUCAAUCUCCCUCUCCGGUGGCAUCGUCGUCAACUCUGGGGGAAACACAUCCGGAAACUCUCGAACUAUAGGGAUAUCCUCGAGUCCCGGUGCCGCCGUAGGUACCUCUACAACUGUCGCUAGAAAAGCGAUACAACCACUACUCAGCAUCUGUCGAGCCCUCGCUGAAGAUAUCCAGGUGGCAAACAACGUACUCCUGCAGCCUCUAAAAAUAAACUCCUCCUGACCUGGCUCGCGGAACGUCACAGUCCUCGCUCCACAGUCGAUAGUAGCAUCGUACCACGCCAACCAAUCCAUAUCGAGCACCACGUCAAAGUCCUGCAGCUGCCUUAACACCAACAAGUCUGCGGGCAUGAUCCAAGAGUCUAACUGCACCAGACAUGACCAACAACACUCUGCAACAUGUAAAACAUGGUCGGGGAUCUGCACCUCUCGUGCAUGAGACAACACCCCUAAUUGUAGACUAUGCAACAAUGCAAAUGCUCGGCUAACAAAGGAAUGCGAUACACCGGUAUCAAAAAGUGUACGAGCUCUAAUGCCAGAAAUCAGAAUGAUACCUGCCACCACUCGGUCUACUACUGAAGAGUCCUCCACCUGGACUGCAUAGACCCUGCCGCUCAGAGCUUGCUGUCACCGCUCGCCCUGACGCGGCACAGACGAUCUGUCCUCCUGGCGGAAACUCGGUGCUGCUCCAAAAGACUGCGGAGGUCCUAGCUAUGCUGAUGCGAUGGAUGGUGCUGGUGAUGCUGCUCGAGGACAAGCUGAUCUCAUAUGCCCGGGCUGACCGCAACUGUAACACCUGUCCUCUCUCUGCUGGUACUGCCGGGGCCAGUGGGGUCCCCCGCAGAUCACACACUGCGGUGUCCUCGGUGUCUGUCCCUGCUGACGGGAUCCCCCAGAACGCUGACGUCCCGAAGACCCACGACCCUGAGAGCGCGAUCAUGGUGGUCUCGACGGACGCCUACCGCUCGACGGUCCUGCAUCAUCUGGAAAGGGGCGCUUCCGGUCCUGACUCUGCCCCACUGCCUGAGUCCUCUCCUGCAGCGACACCUCCCCUCUCUCUACCCAUAAGGCCUGCUCUAUGGAUGCAUCCAGGGUCCUCGACCUCUGCGCCCACACCAACCUGAAGAUAUCGGGUUUCAGCCCCUGCUCAAACAGAUAAACCCUGUGUGCCUCAUCCCUGGCUACAAACGGCACACAAUUCAGGAGUCGAGUAAACUCCCAAAUGUACUCCUACACUGGCCGAUCCCCCUGCUGAAUUCUUUUCAAAUCCUCAUCGAGCUUCUGUUUCACACUGUUGGAAAAAUACAUCCCAAACAGCAUUCCACAGAACUCAUCCCAUCUCAGCUGCAACGCUACCAGUCCCUGAUCUCGCCUCACUCUCCUCCUCUAGGCGUGUGUAUCACCUGCCAAGCAAUGGACUCCCAAAGAUACCUGCUCCCACUCAAGAAUGAACAGAUCCUCAAAUAGCUUCUCCAUCGCACUGACCCAUCCCUCAACGACCCAGGCCUCAGUGCCACUGCCAUCGAAGGUCGGCGGAUCAAAACGGCGAAAACGAGCCAGCCUCUCGGUCAUCCGCUCCUGCUCGGCCUCAAUCAUCUGUACCGGCCCUCUCGGAGGCACAACGGGUGCCACAGGAAUCUCCACUGGCGGGGGCACAACUGCGGCUGGUGCUGCGGCUGGAGUAGUCGGAGGUGGAACCAACGGCUCUAAUGCUCUCAGUACUGAGCCCUGUGGUGGAGCUACCCUCUCACACAACUUCUCCAACAACUCCCCCUGUCGCCUGGUCACCUCCGUCAAGGCAGUCAACUAUGCACUCAAAUCAGGAGGUGCACCCACCUCCAGUCGGGCCCUCUGCUCCACAACAGGGGGUGCACUCACCUCUGCUUGCUCUGGCAUCUUAGAAGGUACAGCACGAUCCUGAGUCAACGGUGCACGAUCUCGCGUAGACGGUCAACCUCGGCGACGAUACAUAGCUGCAAGAAACAAAACGGGGUCAGAUCAAACAAACACUCUCGACCCAAUCAAUGAAAGUCUAGAAGGCGGCCUCUGUUUCUCCUCAAAAUUAUGUCGUCUGCAGCCGACAUGAUUUUUCUGGACCGAAACAGAAACUCCUUCAAUCACUCACUCCACUCUAGGAGUAAUUAAAACAAUUAAUCAUUGACUUUCGCGAUAAAUCACGCCUCUCGCGUCUUGCCUUCCUAAGGUUUUCCAAGCUUAGGUUUCCUAGGUCCCAACGACCUAAUGCUAAGCUCUGAUACCAACUUAAUCUGUCACGCCUUGGAUAUCACGUUCCCCGGGCGCGCCGACAUAAUUCGCUUCGUAUACAGGAAAAAUUUCUUUGUAUACGGCGGAUUAUGUCGGCGUGCCCGGGGAACGUGAUAUCCGGGACGUGACAUCUAAUUCAAAGACUGACGAAUUAAAUAUCUGUCACUUUUUUUUCCUAAAUUGCCCUCAAAUAGUGAGUAUCAAAUUUCACUUUUUAUAUGCGUACCCUAUCUCCUAAUAACCGCUGCCCACAUAAUAUCGUAUUAUAUUACAAAUAAUAUUCCCAAUCUACGUGCUUUCUAAAUAUUUUUUUUCUCACAUGUAAUCAGCUACCUAAAUAAUAUCUAAUCACGUAAUUACCUUCCGCAUUUAUAAUAUUUAAUUUUUUUUUAAAGGUGAAUAUAUAAAAAAUAUCUCAAUUUUAUCUACUAAUAUUUAAAAUAUGAGAAAUGUUUCAAUAAAAUAUAACAUAUGAAUUUACAAUUUAAGAAUUUAAAUUUGCAAAUAAAUAUAAUUCACAAAUUUAUAUUGAUUUGAAAUAAUUAUUAAAAUAGUUGUUGAUAACCUUUUUUUAGUAGGAAAAAAUAUUGCAUUUUAUUUGCGAGAACAGAAAAAAAUUUAUACUUAUCCAAAUUUUUGUCAACCGAAAUAUAUCUCUUGUAGAAUAAUUUUCACAAGCGCCCCAUAAAAGAAUAUUUCAUACUCAUCAAAAAAUGAAAAUCUCUACGCAACACGCAUGAAAAUAUUUAAUAGCUACUAUUUCUCAAUUAACUAACUAAAAAAAAUUAGCAUUGAAAAAUAGAAUAAUUUAAAUAAGCUUAUCAAAUCAACUUUAAAUUUUAAAUUUGGUUCAUAAUUUCAAAUAUAAAUUAAUAGUAUAAUUAAAAAUUUGAAAUUAAUUAAAAUUUUAAUAUUUGGGUGUGUAAACGGUAUUUCAAAUCAAAAAUAAUUAAUUAAUUUGAAAAUAUAUCAAAUUUAAAAAUUAGAUGGGAUGAUCGGUAUUUCAAAUCAAAAAUAAUCAAUUAAUUUGAAAAUAUAUCAAAUUUAAAAAUUAGAUGGGAUGAUAAAUAAAUCAAUGCCUUUAAUAAUUAUUUAUAUUUAAAUUAUGAAUUCUGAGUUUUGUUCAUAAAUUUAAAUCUAAACUCUUUAAUUCAAAAUUUAGAAUUAAUUCAAAUUUUUAAAAUUUGGAUACACAUAAAAAAUUAAUUGAUAAAUAAAUUUAUAACACAAAUAAAUAUUUUAAUUUAAAAUAUAAAUUUGAUUUAAUUAAAUGCGACGUGUAUCGCACGUGUUCUAUAGCUAGUAUACCAAAAAGAUGAAGGAAUGGACAAUAGAAUACUUGCAAUAUUUUCAUUUCAAGUAAUUACUUGACAAUAGAAAAGUAAAGUUUUAAAACAACUUUUUUGCUGCUUUCAAAUUUCUUUAUAUAAUUUUUAUAUGGGUUUUAUUUGUAAUUAGCCUCCUGAAAAAAAUUAUUUUAAAAAUAUCUCCAACAAAUUUAAAUUUGUAAAAAUGGUCCUGGCCCUGCCACGUAGGCGCCCGUCAGCGCCAUGCGGGCUGAGCUGGGCCAGGUAGUUAAGUUAAACGCAGUGAACCAUUCACCGUGUUUAGACACGGUGAAGACACGUUGAAUGGUUCACCGUGUCUGGAGAAAGGGAAGGGAAAGAAAAAAUAUACGUAUUAUGAAAAAGAUAAGUAUGAAACAUAAUGAACUAUUCAUUGUAUUCCGUAUUCAACUUAACACCCCAACCCAUCCACAUGGCGUUUAUGUGGCGCCUGCGUGGCAAGGUCAGAACUAUUUUUAUAAAUUUAAAUUUGUUGAGAUUAUUUUUAAAAUAAAUUGUUUUCAGAGGGCUAAUAGCAAAAAAAAUUCUUUUUAUAUAGUUUGUUUUGGCCAUUUAACUCUUGCCCGAGUAUUCCAACUAACAUUAUUCUUUUAUAUUUUAAUUAUAACUAAAUCUUUUGAUAUUUAUUUGCUGUUUCAAUUAAGCAUCUUCCAUUAAAAAGUCCCUGCAAAUCAGACGUAAAGUAUUAUAGGCCAAGAUUUAGGGAGUGUUUGGCUUUCCGAAAAAAGUUCAAAAAAUAGUUUUUUGCCUAGAAAAUUGCUUUUCAUAUGUUUGAAGCAGUUUUUUUGAAAAACAUUUUUUUUAAAAAAUUUAUAGCAAACUGAUAUUUUUUACUUUUCAAAUUUAUAUUUGAAAAACAAAAACUAAAGUUUUUUUUAAGAAAUCAAUUACCAGGCAACCGGAAGGAAGACGAUUCUAGAGAAAAGUGACAACAAUGAAGUAAUUAACCAUUUUCUUUCACUAUUGUAAAGAAUUUUCCAAUCUAAGCUAUCAAACAAUUAUUGAGAAUGGACAACUCUUUAUUAUCUAAAAGACUUGUCUAUAGACUGAUUAAAAAGACACUAAAUUAGCUGUAAAUCGUAUUCGACAUCAAUAACAAUAGAAAAUCUGAGGUUCAAUAAAGAUUUUGGCGAAAAACAAAACCAAACAAAAAAUUAGAAAGAAAACAAAACAAAAAAAAAAUGGUUAAAAAAAGAUUAAUUUAAACUCAUGAGUAAUUUUAUUAAAUAUAAUAGUUUUAUUCAGAUUUUUACAAAUAAAGCCAGAAUAAUUAAGAAAUAAUGACUAAUAGAGUUAUCAAAUUUAAGAAGAUAAACUUAAAUAACUUUAACAAAUUUAAAUUAAAAAAACUGUAAAUUAAGAAGGUAUCAAUAAAAAAAAAAUUAUAAAUUGACAAGUCCAUCUCACAAUGACUCAUAGGUGAGAGAGUCUCCCUAAAUUUUACCUAAAAAAAUUCCAAUUCCAAGUGUACAAAGAUAAAUUUAUCAAACCAACAUUACCAAUCUGCAAUAAAAAAAAAAAAAGAACUGGCCGUAUUUGCGUAAUUUGUUAAGAAUUUGAUGGUUGACAUCUGAGAUCCGUUCGAAACAAUUUAUUUAUUAAAAAAUGAACAUUUAAAGUUUACAUCUUAUUAGAGUAACCUUAGUUUCUUCUUAAAAGAAAUGAACACUUGAGGGUACAUCUUGGAGUAACCCAUAACAACAGCAACAAGUAAACCAAUCCAAACCAACCCAUGUAAUGUAAAUAAAACAAAAUAAUAAACAAAGUUUUCCAUUUCCAAUAAUGAGUAUGAGUUGGCUAAACAGGUUAGUUAUUGUUGCAUGGACUCCUCCUAACCCCCCUACUCCCACCACUCCCAGAGCCCAUCUCCUCUCAUGUGGGGGGGAGGGAAUGCCCCUUCAUCUCCCUCAUUUAAUGCCAACAUUGUGGGUGCAGUUACCAAGGGCCCAGAUCCAAGAUAACCGUUUUCAUUACCACCCCCCUCUCCCCCCAUUAUUUCCCAUUUUCACGACACCAUAAUUAAUCAAUUGAUAAUAAAGUUUUAUAGGAUUUGCUUGUUUUGUUUUAUGAAUACGGUGACAAAGUUCACGAGAAUAGUAAUAGUUUAAUUCAGGAGUAAAAUGGUAAUAAUCAUAACUAGUGCAGAGAAAACUGAUAGGAAAGUGGUGCCGUGUGGAAUGUGUAAAAUGUUGUACAAGUUUCGAAACGGACAGAGAGCAUCACAUAUCACAUAAUAAUAAGUUAUAUACUAAGCCCCUGUUCUCUUAUGUCCGUCCUACUGCUCGUUAAGCUCUUUUAAUUUUUUCCCUAAGCACUCUUUCUCGGGAUCAUCUUUGCUGUCUCAAGAGUUUUUUUUUUUUUUUAUUAUAAUAAUUUUUUUUUUUUUUUGGGUUGAUAAUAAAAGAGAGCCAAGUUGUUAUGACCUGCACUUGUUGUUGUUGUUGUUGUUCCUCCUCUUUCUGCUUUCUCUCAUUAGCCACUGGUGGCGAGGGGUGAGUUGGAUUGGAGGGGCAUCAUCUGACAGUGUAACCGGUGCCUCUUUGUCUUCUUUGCCAGGGAGAGGACACCAUUUUCCCAUUUUCUCCUCUCUCUCUCUCUCUCUCUCUCUCUCUCUCUCUCCUUUUCUCUGCUUUUUUGUGUGUGUGUGUACUGGCCACAUUCUCCAAUCCGGUUUCUGGUUUUUGAGGAGGCCUCGUGAUCUCUUUGGGAUACUAAAAAAGAAGAAAAAAAGGAAAGAAAGAAAGGAAAAGAAAGAAAAAAAAAAGGAAACUGCCCAAGUAUUGAUUUUGGACUUGUUCUACCCACAGAUGCUGUUGGGUGCAGAGUUUUGGGAGGUGGGUUCUUGAGUUCUCGGCACAAUGAGGUAGGAGGGUCUCCAUCUCCUCCUCCUCCUCCUCCUCCUCCUCUUCUUCUUCUAACUUUUCUUUCUAAAAACUUGGGUGUUUUUUCAUUGAUGAAUCUGUGAAGACCCAGUUUGGUGGUUUCCUUCUUGAUCGGCUGUUGUUGUUGUUGUUGUUGUUGUGGGCUUCUUCUUCUUGAUUCCCUGACAUUGCAUCUGGGUUGAACCCAUUCAAGCUCUUCUGUGAGUGAGUGCAAAUAUUUGUGACACUAAAACCCUCCCGAUCCCCCUCUCAUCUGCAUCUGCAUCUGCAGUAGAAGGGAGCUGCGCGCAUCCUAUUCGACGAAAAGCCGGAGAGAGGAGGUUUGAUCAUUGCAAUCAGGAUGAGGGAUUUCCCUUCUUGCUUCGGCGAGAGCGGAGUUCAGGUCGCCGACGCCUCGUCGGGCGGCGCGGCGGCGAGCAAAGCACAUCAGAAUCUGGUGACUUGCCUCUACCGGACCCAAUUCUCCGGCCGAUCCUGCGUGAUCACCCUUGCCUGGAGCAAGAACCUGAUGGGGCAGGGCCUCAGCAUUGAAAUCGAGGAUUCGCCUUCCGGCCGCUGCUUGUGCAAGGUCGAGAUUAAGCCGUGGCUCUUCUCGAAAAGGAAAGGCUCCAAGGGCUUAGAGGCCGAGAAUGGCAAAGUUGAGAUCUUUUGGGACCUCUCGGCCGCCAAGUUCGGACCCGGGCCUGAGCCGUUGGAAAAUUUCUACGUAGCCGUGAUCUUCGAUCUCGAGAUGGUCCUCUUGCUCGGCGAUCUCACAAAGGAGGCGUACCGUAAAACCGGCGCGAGCCCUCCUCCUUCAAAUGCUUCUUUUAUCGCCAAGAGAGAGCAUGUAUACGGAAAGAAAGUGUACUAUGCGAAGGCGCAGUUCUGCAAUAAUGGCCAAUCCCAUGAUCUUGCGAUCGAGUGCGAUACAGCCGGACUGAAAGACCCGUGCCUCGAGAUUCGCGUCGACAAGAAGCGGGUGAUGCAGGUGAAGCGGCUGGCGUGGAAGUUCAGGGGGAACCAGACGAUCUUAGUCGAUGGUUUCCCCGUGGAGGUGUUCUGGGACGUGCACAAUUGGCUCUUCGGAUCUCCUUCCGGGAGUGCGGUGUUCAUGUUUCAGACGUGCCAGUCUGCCGAGAAGCUGCUGUCAUGGUCAUCUUCUCAAAUUUUCGGAGAUUCCCAACCACAAGGGGCUCUUGGUUUUUCUUUGAUAUUAUAUGCGUGGAAGAAUGAGUAGGUGUAUACGGGAGGAUUCUUGAUAUAUGCGAUUUCUCCUGUGAGUGCUAACAAGAUGUUUUAGUGAGUGAUUUGUUUUGAAAAUGUGCUUGAGGCUUCGCUCCUUUUUCCCCCCCCCCUUUUUUCUUUACCAUCUCUUCUAAAUUGAUCUGUUCCAAUAGAUUGGCAACAUUUUCUGAAUUUGAAUUGGUCUACUACUUUAGCUUGUAUCUAGUUGAAUAGGUUUUAAAGAUUGCAGUGCCCUCAGAAACAAGUAUAUAUGUUUUUAUGGAAACUGAAUGGAAGAUUAAUACAGAAAUUGUGUGAUGAAGCUGAGUCUGGAAAGACGAUGAUUUUUUUCUUUUCGUUCUUCGUUCUUUCUGACUGACUUGUCAUUGCACCUCACUGCUGUAACUAUCUGAGCUGUUGUAUUUAGAACUUGUGUCUUAUCUAAUUCACUCUCCACAUGGUGUUCUUAGUUGCUACAUCGUAGCCAAAUAUUGCCUCUUUUCUUGACAGUGUGAGGAAUGAUAAACUGAUUCCUGUAGCAUCAUGACUCUGCACAUUAAUGUGCUCUGGUGCUGAUACCCUGUUUAAGUAACCCCACUUUGCUGAGAAUGAAGGUUCGUCGUGAAUGGAUCUAUCAAGGUUUACCAAUUGUCCUUCCAUUCUUUGAACUUCUGUUCGCUCUCUUUUCCUCAAAGGUUUAUUAAAAAUGUCUCUCCUAUGUAGGAGCGUAGAUGAUUAUUAUGGAAAUUCUGGACUGUGAAACUGCUACUUGAGUGAAUUGGAUGUCGACCAACUGUUUCCCUGCAGGUUAGUGGAAUUUAUAAUCUUCCUUUCAUGUAGCAGUGCUGGUGAUAUUCAAUAAUUGUUUGUUAUAUGCUUUUCCAUAAACAACCUACUUGAUAUGUAUGGCUAGUCCUGCUUUCUAUUUGGCUAAUAGGCUGACACAUUCUUUUCGAUGGUAUUUUGAAUAUUCUCAAGGUUCUAGUUUUACUAAGAUAUGACAAUGAUAUAAGCAGAUAUCAGGACCAAAGGAACAAAUUAUAGUCUUUUUCUUUUUUUUCCCCUAACAUAACUCAUAUAUCUUAUUUCUCUGAAUUUCAGUUAUUCUGAAAGCCAUAAAAGUAUUUAUUGUAUUAUGAACUUCUUCAGAAUUAUUUGUCUUGAUUAGCUCUGGAUACAGUGAUACACUUUCUUCUAAGUUACUACCAAUGUCCCGUCAAUUUAGCAAUUACUGUUCUUGUUUAGCUUAUCCAAUUUAUAACUUGUUUAGUCCACACGAAAGUGUUUUGUUGAAAUUUUUAUUAGUGUUCGAUGUUUGCGUGGCAGUGAGGCAGUAACAUUCUUCAUAUCCUGUUCCCUUACACAAAACUAAAUUGUUUCCUCACGAAUUCAUGCUAGUUCUCUGAAUCGAGCAGUCUGUACCUUAAUGCAAAUUGUCUCAAGUUUCUUUUUUUCCAUAAUUUGGGAAGAAUGUCAUCCGCUGAUGGUAAUAUGGUAUACUCUUUGUUUCAAUAAUUCAGCCACUGUUAUCUUUAGAACAAAGGGAAUGAUCAGGGGCUGCACAGUCAUAACAGUAAGUCCCAUGAUCAUGCUGGCAAUGGCAUUAAGUUAAUGCUAUUAGCAAAAGCAUAAGUGACAUUGCAAAGAACUCGUUAACUAAAUAUGAAUAUGAUGAUAUUUAAUAGGAAACGAUAGUCAGCAGGAAGGAAAAAUAGGUGUCAAGCGCACAUAAUGAAUAGGAAUACAUCUUCGAUUCUCAUACUAGAUACUGUGUGAAAGACUGCUAGUAAAACUCAUUCUAAGGGUGUUGGCAUGAGGUUACUCUGUGUGUUGGCGCAAUGCAUGCUGUAAAAUGGCAAUUCAAUAUUCACUGUUGCUUAUAAAUUACUGAUUUUGGGAUUUCUUUAUCCUUUUUUUAAAAAUAUUUAAAUCCUUUGGUCCAAAAAGAAACUAAGUGAACAAAUUUCCAAGAAAUUAAAUGUUUGUUCAUCUUUGUAAUCUCAAUAACUUUAACAUAUGUUGUUGUUACGUGCUCUUUACAUUACAUGUUGCAGUGGACACGACCAGCUAGGUUUAUAAAGUAUGCUUGUGUUGUCUUAUCUCUUUCCACCAAGUUUUGACAGAUAAAGGUGCUUAUUGACAGCUUCUAUGUGGCACCUUAGACCUCAAAUGUAGAACUGGUAAAUAAUGAUAGAUUAGCCAUCUAGGUAAGCAGUGGAAACCAAGAAGUGAAAAUGGCGAUUUCUACAGAAAUUUUAAGAUAACAUGCUUGAAGAAAAUUGUCAUGGUACUAUGAAUCUUAAGGAAUCGAAAGAUAAGACCUCAAAGUGGGUUGAACAAAAGAAAAUUAAUUUGGCUAGUUAGUCUAGGUAUUGGGUGGAAAAGUAACCCUUUGGAAUUGAAGCUUUGACUGAAAAGAAAGCAAAUUUACUGUUCCGUAAGUGGUACAUUGGCUGUAGAGAAUGAUCAAGUGAUUGAUUGGAGGAAUCAUGUAGUGCAACAAUGUGAACUUUUCAAGCACAUAUAAAUGACUUUUAUCCUGAAAUGCUUCUGGCUUUAUAUUUUCAGAAAGAAUAUGCAUCAUUUUCUUCUUCUCUUUUCCCAUAAAACUUGCUAGUUUCUAAAUUAUUUUAUCUUUCGGCAUGCGUAUUAGUUUUUAUGUUUUGUCAAUGUAUCAUUAUUCAUUUAUGGGAAAACUUCAAAAACCCCCCCGUGGUUUCGUAGUUUCUCACUUUGCCCCCCUGUGGUUUAAAAAGUAUCAGUUUGCUCCCCUGUGAUUUCUUUUUUCUCUUUUUCUUAUCAAUUUCAUUAUUUUUUUUUCUUAAAUCAGUGAUAAAGUUAAAAUUAAAGGGUACUAAAGUGAAUAUUUGAUAAAUCUAGAUGGGUAUUUGAAGUUUUUUGUAUAUAAUUUAAUGAAAUAUUAACGAAAAAGCUAUCGAAAAGAUAAAAACGAAACCACAGGGGGGCAAUUUGAUACAUUUUAAACCACAAGGGGGCAAAGUGAGAAACUACGAAACCACAGGGGGGGUUUUUGAAGUUUUCCCUUCAUUUAUUUGUGACAGAUACUACUAAAGCAUGCUUCUGUGUUAUCUUCGUUGUCCAGUUUGGAAACUACAAAGGAUUAGCUCUUUCAGCAGUAGCGUAAGCUCCUUAAUUUACAUCGACUGAUCGGCAACGCAUGUGUUAGUUUUUUCAUUUGUUGUGACAACAACUCCUUUGAGGUCAACAAGAUCUAAUUAUCUUUAAUUAUUGUUAAAGGUUGGUUAUUGUACUACGUUAUUAAUUGUAGAGUAGAGAUGUCUUAGUAAUGUUGUUUAGUAUAUGCUUCCUUUUGUGUUCUUUGUUUCCAAGCUUACUACUUUGACGGAAAUAUAUUUUUAUUUUGAUCAUCAAUUAUGUCUAUGUUUCUCAUGAAUAUUCAAAUGUGCUACUUUACUUUACAUUAAAUUUAAUACCAUUCCUGUGCAUGAUAUGUACCACUCAAGCUAACAAUCAGUUGAUAGUAAUAUUCCUAUGAAAAGUAUAAUGCAUCAAGGCAAUGCACAAAUUCAUAAUGCUAGUUGCUAUUAAAAUGUUCAGUUAAUUCCUGAAAUUUGACAAAUUAUAAUUUGGACUCUGUCUUUCGUUUAAACAGAUUAGUAGCUCGACUUACCUAAUUUCUCAUGUUCUUGCCAUACUAGCAUUUUACAUCCAAAAUCUUUAUCCUCCAAUAAGGGUUCUGCGAAUGAACUUUUAAAACCUACACAGAUCCGGACUACAAUGGUAUUUGAGUUAGCAAUACAAUUAGUCUUAAAUUGAAAAUUGUGAUUCGUUGGUAACUAUUUUACCUGUACACUUAGCCUUAAAAUUUGCCUUCGUAAAUUUUCUUGAUGUUGUUUCAUCAAUUUUCUUGAUGUCCUUUCAUCAUCGUGAUAAACUUUUACAUUUUUUUUAAUAUUUCCUCUCUUCUUUUUUUUUUCCCUUCCUAUCCAAGCAACUUGUUUUUCUCUCUUUAUUUCAGGAGCUGCUUUACUAUGUGGUGUAGCACUAAAAAAAGCGAAGAUCCUGCAUUCCAUACUCUGGACUGGGUUGCUAUAUUCUGUGCUCCGAUAUCUACAUGCUUGGAAUUAUCAGGAAAGUGGGGAAAAAAAAAAACAUUUUCCAGUAAAGUGAAGUAGGUGAGAGAGAAUCAACUGCCAUAUUAUCAGUUUGUUCGUAGGACUUUCAGAUACAGUUCCUGUGUAUUCAUGUAGCUCAAGUUUUCAACCCUAUUGUUCGAAUUGUAACAUUAAACCAUCCUGUUGCGGUUUUAGGACUUGAUUGUCAUUAUAAUUGAGCAUUGUGACAAUUUUAUGACUACUUUAGAAAGAUGUAAAUAAGAUUUAACAGCUUAAUUUUACUGAGUUUUGUUGAUUCUUAUAAUUUAUCUUGACAAACCACAAGAUUUCAUGUGCUCUCUAGUUAGCUGUAUUCUAGCGGCAAGUCCCAAAUGAGAAAUUGGAUUGACCACUGCUGAGUGAUAAAAUGUCACACUUUGAACUAGAGAGUUGUUAAGCGGAAUCAAAUUAUAUUUAAUUUCUCCUUCUCCUUUCACUCUCUCAGGGUCGAAGGAUCUGCAAAUGUAAAAUUCAAGCAGAAGAUAUGGGAGUUGGUGUGCAGAGAACAGCAUAUUUUUAGUAACAAAAUAGGCAGGUGCAUAUCAAAUGUGAAUAUGCUCAAUUAUUCCCUUCCUUACUAGAUUUGUUCUACUGAUUGUUUAUUUGUUAUGUUGAUGGUAUAACAACUACCAUGCUAAAAUAAAUUGCCAUGUUUUUAAUUGCAUUCCACGUGGAUCAACUCUCAACACACCAUGUGGACAUCUCACCUGUGGCACUUAUUUUUUUUGAUAGGAAGAUGUCCUUGAGAAGAUAUCUGUGUCUCAUAAUGAAAGAUGUUUGCUUGCAGGUAGACCCUUGGUUUGUUCUAUUGCCAAGUCAAGGAGAGAUAGGCCAUCCUCACAAGGUAGGUGCUUUCAUUGGAGCCAUAAUAAUAUGGUCUUAUGGGUUAAGAGCUCACUUAAUGUAGAGAUGCAAGGACAAAUUAAGGGCUUGUUUGGUUCACCUAUUUUAGACUACGAAAUCGGAAUGAAAUUCGUUGAUUUCGACACUUGUUAUUUGUUUUGCAGGAAUCGGAUUCCGAUUCCCGUUCCACUCUGGAAUGGGCAUGAUCGAAUUUAUUUAUGCCCCAAUCCGGAUUUGAAUUCCGGAUUGGUCCAUUCCAAAGUAAACCACUCAAAACUCUUUCUUACAAACACUCUCCCUUCCUCUUCCUUCAUCAAUCUUCUCUUUCUUAACCAAAACUCUCUUCCAAAAUUUCAGAUGUCAUUCUGAUUUCCAAUCCAAUAAUUAAUGAAGUAAUUUUAAAUUAUUUGUCAUUCCAUUUCUCAUUCCAAUGCAAUCCAAUUUCAUUUUCUAUUCCAGUGUUUAUUUGUUGAAUUCCUCAUUAGUAGAAAUUCUUGGUUAUAGGUGUGUUAUGACUGUUUUGCUGAAAAAAGACAUGGUUAGGAUUGUGUAAACCAUCUCCAUGUAUGAGAAUGUGUUUAUUUAUCGAAUUCCUUAAUUGUAGAAAUUCUUGAAUUUUAUAGAAAAUAAUUUACGAUAACAACAAGGCUAUCAUGGUUAGAGUUGCGAAAACUAUCUCUCUGCAUGCGAAAGUAGUAUUUUCUUUAAUUUUCUUUUUUAGUUAGUAUAUAUAUUUCGAGCGCAUUAAAAUUAACCAGAUUGCCUAGAGUGAAGAAGGUUGUGCAUAAUUGGAUGUCUUUUUCUUGAAGAAAAUCUUGCUUUAUUGCUUAUGAUGAUAUAUAGAGCAAGAAGCAAGAAAUAGCUUUUGGAGGGGAGAGAGAGAGAGAGAGAGAGAGGGAAAGUGACGUGGUACCAAAAUAUAAUACCUAAUUCAUGAUUGGACUGCAGAGGAAUUAAUGGGAAUGUGGCAGAGGAAUGGUGAAAUAGACUUCACCCAAGGCCUACAGCAAGCCAUUUUGUUUACUACAACCUUUCAACCCCCUCUCCUAUUUCUUUGCCCUCAUUCUCCAUCCACAAAUGAGGCAACAAACAACAAUAAGAAGCAGCCACCCCUACUCACCUAUGGGUUGGCUUCACUCCCUCUUCUCCCCACUUAGGAGGUUGUGGCUUCGUAUGCACUCCGCGCGCAACAAGAGUAUGUUAUGCUUUCGCACUUACAUGUAUAUUAGCUUUUAUAUUUUUUCGGUCUCGCUCUAUCCAACUGAGCUAUAUUUUAUUUCUCUUCUUAUUGAUGUAUUACUAUUAUUAUUGUCAUUGUUGGAAACAAGUUGGUGACACUGAUAAUGUCAUUGAUUGUAUUGAUAGAUAGGGGGAUAUAUAUUCUCUACGAUGACGUGAAGUCGUGCCAGUGCGAGGAUGUGCAGAUUCUUUGGUCGAUCCUCGUGGAGUCGCAUCCACACCCGACUCCGCUCCGAUUGAAGCAAUGAGGUUUUGCUUGCCCAUGAGAAGGAAGAGAGGAAGAGCAUCAGAUGAGCGAGGUUUGAUGUAAAUAUUAUAUAUUUAAGUAUCAACUGAGGAGAUAACCUAUUUCAUAUAUCUCAUGAGAGAGAGAGAGGACUCUUGUGUUUAGUGAAUGAGGGUGAUAUUUUGUACAUACAUACAUUAUGGCACGAACAUACACACAUAUACAUACAUAAGUGCAUGCAUAAAUACAUUGAAUAUAUGAGGAACUAAUACAAGAAUAAAUUUAUUAAGGAUGGUGGAGAGCAUUUUUCUGUUUCUUUUUCAAAUGGUUGGUUUGUCCAUUCUGGAGUAGCUGUGGGAUAACAUAGAUUCAAUUUCAUGUUUUAAUUAAGUUUCCAUUUGCAAUUGCAGAGAUAUUGCAUUGUAUGUGAAGAGAAAUUACGACGAAAAAUUAGUAUGUUUGUUUUUACACGAAAUAUCACGUUCUAUAGCCGAUAAUGAACAGUUAUAAUAUAUUUUCCAUGAUAUGUUUUUUAUGGUCCCUUGAAAAAAAAAAAAAAAAAAAUUUCUAUAUGCUUUCAUCUUAAAACUUUAAUAUCAAAUGGGCCCUAAUACUGUACAAUUUAAGUUGCUGCUUAUAAGAAAAUGCAAAUUUAUAGUCUAAAAUACUGUUGAGUAUGAUGUGACUGCACACGCGUGCAUAGAAUGUAAUUAAGAUACUUUCGUGGGUACAGAAGAUGUACGGAGACCCUCAACUCUCUAGUAGACUUUGAAAUGACCCUUCUAGUGUGAACUUUUUUAUUAAGACCUCCUAAGAGCUUAAUUAUUUUAGAAUUAACUAAUUUUAGUUAAAAAAGAUAGAAUUUUUAUCAGAUACACUGAUGAUUUCAUAAUUUUUAAUUACUUUUUAGCAGAUAAGGCUAUAAUAAAUAAUGAUUAAUGGGAAUAGAAAUGCAAUUUAACAAAAUUUUUAACCUAAUAACUUGAAAUAAUUCCAAACGACUCAUUUCACACUCCAGAGAUGUGUAGAUCUUUACCAAUAAAAUUCUAACCAGUCUUUGUUAGUGAUAGCUAGAAAAAAUGGCUAAAGAUUCUAAUUAAAGUUUUAUAACCUUAUUUUAAAUUUCUUUUAUUUGAUGAAAUAGCUGUUCAGAGUAUAUUUAAAGGCCAAUUUGCAUAAAAAAAUCCACUAGUUUUGAGCAUUUGCAAAAGUGUGCCACUAUUUUUUAUUUUGUAGAUUCGGACCGAAUUUUAGAAACUUGACUAAAAUAUUCUUAUUCUUUUUUCUCUCUCUCUUUUUUUUGUCUCUCGUUCUUUUUCUUCUUUCUCUCCGAAGAAGGUGGCGGACGCAGAGACGGCCCGUCUCACUUCUGUCCCGCUUGCCCUCGCCCUCGCCCUCGCCCGCGCACCUUCCCUCCACCCUCCUCGCCUCCGACCCUACCGAGCACCACAACCCUCUUUCUUUUUUUUUUUUUUCCCUCUCUGACAUUUCUUCACCGUCUCCCGGCUUCUUUACAAUAGUAAAGAGGAUAAUAUCACAUCCUCUCCCUCUUCUUUUUUUCUUUUGUUCUUUUUUUUCCUUUUUUCUCUUCGAUUCGACCCACCUCUACCGCCUCUGCGACCCUCCACGACAGUAACGAGAACAGUGCCACAUCCUCUUCCUCCGCCUUCGCCAGCAUUAGCACCGGCACCGAUGCUGGCACUAGUGCUGGAAAAGGAGAACUCAAAGCGAGUGCGAGUGAGAGCAGAGCGAAGGAAAAAAAUACAAAAAUAAAAAAAUAAAAAGAAUAAAGAAUAAAACAUAAAGAAAAAAACUUUUUUUACAAUAAAAUAAAGAAUCAGAGAGAAAAAAAGAGGAUGAUGAAGUUGUAAUAUUUUAAGGAAACGUUGCACUAUUUCAAAAAAACGUUGUACUGUUUUAGAGAAAUGCACUCGUUAAGAGAAAAAUUAUACUUUUUUGAAUGAAAGUUGCACUCUUUGAACGAAAAUUGCAUUCUUUAGGCAAAAAUUAUACUAUUUCUCCUCUUUGUCCUUUUUCUUCUCUUUUCUCUUCGUUUUCAUGUGUUUCUUCUCUGCCCAUCUCUUUUUCACCUUCUACCUUUGUUGACAGAUCCUCCGCCUAUCUCUCUCCGACCCUUUUUUUUUUUUUCCUCCCCGGCGGUGGAGAAGGGUCGAAAAUUAAAAAAAAAGGGUCACGACGCGGCUUCGGCGGGUUUGGAGGCGAGGAGGGCAGAGCAUGUGUGAGCACGGGCAAGAGCACAGGGGCAGAAGGUGGAGAAUUUGCCGACGGAGAGGGAAAGAAAAGAAGGUCGGAGAGAUAUGGGCGGAGGAUCUGCCGACGGAGGUGGAAGGCGAAGAAGAGAUGGGUGGAGAAGAAACACACGAAAAUAAAGAAGAAGGAGAAGAAAGAGGAGGAAGAGAAGAAACAGUAUAAUUUUUGCUCAAAAAGUGCAACUUUCGUUCAAAUAGUGUAACUUUCGUCCAAAAAAGUGUAAUUUUUCUCUUAAAGAGUGCAAGUUUUUUCUACAAUAGUGAAACGUUUUUAUGAAAUGGUGUAAUGUUUCCUUAAAACAUUGCAACUUCAUCGUGCACGGGGGCCACGACCUCGUCGCGCGUAGGUGCCGGCAGAGAAAGGGGGUGGCAGUGCGAGGGGCGCUUGACGACGAUGGUGACGAAGAUGGUAGAGGAGGAAGAAAGAGGAGGAGGAUGAGAAAACGGAGGGGGAGGAGGAGGAAGAAGAAGAGAAUGAGAAAUGGUGUAAAUUUCACCCAAAUAGUGCAACUUUGACUUAAAGAGUGUAACUCUCAUUCCAAAUAGUGUAAUUUCUCUCUCAAAGUGUGCAACUUUUAUCUAAAAUAGUGCAAAAUUUUUUUAAAACAGUGUAACUUUAUUUUAACAGUGCAAUUUCAUCUUCUUCCUUCUUCUACGAUUUUUUAUCUUUCUUGUAGAAAAAAAAAAUUUUUAUUUUUAUUUUUUAUUAUUCUUAUUUUCUUUCUCUCUAUAAUUUUUUUUGUCACGACCUCUCUCUUGCCCUCUAUCGCAGCUACAGCCCUUGCCGGAGUGCAAUUAUUUUUCUCCCUUAUCCUCGCCGACAUGCUUCUCGGCCCGAAGAAGCACUUCCUCUUCGUCGCUAGCGGCGGCGGUGGGGACGGCGGGUGAAGGAGGGUUGAAGAGGAGAAAAAAAAAAGGGUCGCGGCGCGGCCUCAGCGGGGUCGGAGGCGAGGAAGGCGGGGUGUGCGUGGGCGAGGCCGACGGCGUGAAAGGCAGAGGCGGGGGGGCCGUUUUCGCCUCUUCUCCGCCGACUUCUUCUGUCACGCCCCGAGCCCGAUCCUUUUUGGCCGGUUCGAGAGCGUCAAACAGACGCCGAACGGACAAAGCUUCCCCUGUCCGCCCAAGGCUCAACACUAGUAUCAAUAGAGUACAAAUUUGCAUAAGCGGAAGCAUACACAAUGGCUUGCACGAGAGCAAGCAAUAGCCAAGGUGAAAGAAUUAGCAAUUCAAUAUACAAGUAAUAUGACUAAUUUAAAUCACAUACAUGCAUCAUUUUUUUUUUUUUUUUACACCUCAUUUCUCCCAAAAUAUAACUUUUGACAUUUAAAGUAAAUAUUCUUUACAUCAUUCAUUAAAGCAAGUUCAUAAUACUAAAAUCAUCAAAUACAAAAGAUGAUAGUAAAGGGUGUGCAACUACAAAAUGAAAUCCAUCUCGGGCGAUCUCUACCUAGGGCGCGAUGCCCUACUUGCCAACAAGUAAAAGCGGAGCGACGGUUUCCGGCGGGAAAGUUGCAAAGUUUACCUAUACCCGUUUGGAAAUGGAAAAAUAUUGCAAUGGACUUCGUGACCGGGUUGCCUCGAUCUCAAGGUGGGCACGAUGCAAUUUGGGUGAUUGUAGACCGGUUGACGAAGUCGGCGUAUUUCCUACCGAUUCAUAUUACUUGGUCCGGGGACAAGUUGGCUCAAGUGUAUAUUGAUGAGAUUGUGAGACUUCAUAGGGUGCCCAUGUCUAUCGUGUCGGAUCGGGACCCGAGGUUCACCUCUCACUUUUGGAGGAGCCUACAGGAGGCCUUGGGAACGCGACUCGACUUUAGCACGGCAUUUCAUCCUCAAAGUGACGGUCAAUCGGAGAGGACAAUACAAAUACUUGAGGAUAUGCUUCGAGCGUGUGUACUGGAUUAUAAGGGCAAUUGGCAUGAUCAUCUUCCGAUGGCGGAGUUCGUGUACAAUAACAGCUAUCAAGAAAGUAUCGCGAUGGCGCCAUUCGAGGCCCUUUAUGGAAAGAAGUGUCGCUCUCCAAUUCAUUGGAGCGAUGUGGGCGAAAGGGCGGCUCUUGGCCCCGAUGUAGUGCGGGAGGCAGAGGAGAAAGUCCGUCUUGCUCGCCAACGACUUGCUACGGCAUAAUCUCGGCAAAAGAGCUAUGCCGACAAACGGAGGAAAGAUAUCGAAUUUGCCGUUGGAGACCACGUGCUUUUAAAGAUUUCGCCGAUGUGAGGGAUUAAGCGGUUUGGAAUUCGUGGGAAGCUAAGUCCCCGAUACCUUGGACCGUUUGAGGUGUUGGAGCGGGUCGGCGCGGUGGCAUACAAGAUAGCAUUACCACCGAGGCUUGUGGGAGUACACGACGUGUUUCAUGUAUCGAAUCUCCGCAAGUAUGUGCACGACCCCGAGCAUGUUCUCUCGUUUGAACCGUCCGAGAUUCAAGAGGACAUGACCUAUGAGGAGUUCCCGGCAUACAUAAUCGACCGAGAAGUAAGAAAACUACGAAAUCGCGAGAUUCCGUAUGUUAAAAUUCGUUGGUGUAAUCACAACGACCGAGAAGCUACUUGGGAGCUCGAGAGCGCAAUGAGGGAACAUAAUAUCUGUCACGCCCCGAGCCCGAUCCUUUUUGUCCGGUUCGAGAGCGUCAAACAAACGCCGAACGGACAGAGCUUCCCCUGUCCGCCCAAGGCUCAACACUAGUAUCAAUAGAGUACAAAUUUGUAUAAGUGGAAGCAUACACAAUGGCUUGCACGAGGGCAAGCAAUAGCCAAGGUGAAAGAAUUAGCAAUUCAAUAUACAAGUAAUAUGACUAAUUUAAAUCACAUACAUGCAUCAUUUCUUUUCUUUUUUUUUUUACAUCUCAUUUCUUUCAAAAUAUAACUUUUGACAUUUAAAGUAAAUAUUCUUUACAUCAUUCAUUAAAGCAAGUUCAUAAUACUAAAAUCAUCAAAUACAAAAGAUGAUAGUAAAGGGUGUGCAACUACAAAAUGAAAUCCAUCUCGGGCGGUCUCUACCUAGGGCGCGAUGCCCUUAUCGCGAUCAUCUGCCGGCUCGCUCGGUCCCGGCUCUGUGGAAAUAGUGGGGUGAGAACUACAACAAAGUUCCCAGUGGGUUCGGCAACCAACCACGCCGACUAUCCCACUAGGUCUAAUCAGGCAUAAUAGAAGAAAGAAUAGAUAAUAACCAACUAACAAAUGCAGCUAAUAUGCCUGAACAAUAAAUAAAACUAUGCUCGAUAGAAUGCUCAUGAUGAAUGCAAGAUUAACUUUUCAUUACCCAAUCUCAUGGCUAGCCCGUAGGUUUCGCCCUCACAAACUAACCAACCCAAAUUCCUAUUAUCGGGGAGAUAACCGCUAUGACCCGACGGGACCGCCCUCUGGGGAGAUAACCGCUACGACCCAGUGAUGACAACUCCGGAGCACAUCGCCCGAGGGGGAGCUACCGCCCUCGAGCAAGGACUAUUAGGUGAGUACGAUCAAUCCUUAACUUUAAGGAUUUUAAGUUCAAUCCAUUCCUUGACUUCAAGGAGAACCAUGUACAUAUGACCCUUAAUUCUAAGGUGUUUAUGUCAUAAUGUCACUACUUGUUCUUGUUCUUUGUCAAUGAUGCCACACUUGUUUUCUAAGUCCUCUAGACUCAUCAAUGUCACUUGCUAAAUCUAUGUCAACAUGUCACAUUUGUUUACUAACCCUUCUAGGUUCUUGUCCCUUGUCAUGCAUAUAUAGGGUUACCAAUUCUCAUUCAUUUACUACUAUUUCUCAAGCAUUAGAACUCAUAUCAUGCAAAGAAAAUUUACAAUUAACCCUACUAUGCAACAUGCUCAAUAUAAAUACAUAUGCUCAAAUAUGACGCUUUAGACAUAAAGGGAUUUCCGAUGUCCUUGGAAUGCACCACCCACCUUAGAUGGUCACAAGGAUGCUACGGUGAAUUUCUUGGAAUUUUUGAAGCCCUAGUCCGCGUGCUGCGGCUAUCUGUACGGAAAAUGACGUUUUUGUUAAUAACUUUGCGUACACUCGUCGGAUUGUCGAACCGAGCGUUCCAACGCGUUUAAAAUACCCUCAAUUAGGUUUCUACAUGAUCAAAAUAGAUCAAAACCCAACUUGGGCAAAACCCCUCUUUGGGAUGCCCUAACAUGUUAUUUUUGCAUUUCUCCGAGAUUGAUCUCAUUCCUAAGCAAAAGAUAGCUUAGAUUCACAUGGGAAGCUCUCUAAUAAGGUUUCUAAGCUUUUAGAACCAUCCCUAGGGCAUCUACUUUGAGCCCUAGUGAUCCACCAUGAGAGGGGUCUAAGAAAUCCAUGUUUUUCAUGGAGUCAUGGUCCUUAGAGGAUUUCCUCACUUGUAGAGAGAUCAAAACCCAAAAAUCUAAGGUCUAAACCCAAACCCUAAACUCAUUUUUGCAUAAGGACUCACCUUUGCCCAAGCUCCACCAAAGCCUACUUGUUGGAGAGCUUCUAGGACCACCAAAGCCACCAAAAUCCACUUCUCCAAGCUCUUCUCCACCUUCUCCAAGCUCUAGGGCUUGCUUUCUAGAGAGAGAAAGAGAGGAAAAUGAGAGAGAGGGUGAAAUGGGUGUUGGCUGUGAGGGGAAGGGGUAUUGGGCUAUUAACAUGUUGUAACAUUUGCCAAAAAACCCUCCCAAUCUUUAUAUUUUGCAGCAGACCUCGUUUUGCUGUCGGGCCCAAAGUGUACCGGUACACUUUUUCGUGUCACCGGUUACACGACUACGCAUAGGCAAACCCGAGAGCAGAUCUGUCAGUUUCGCCCAAAGUGUACCGGUACACUUUUUCGUGUCACCGGUUUCAGCAUGUGUAACCGGUGACAGGUCGCUUGCUGUACCGGUACACAUUGCUCCAGACCUGAUUUUUGGCUCCGUCUCGAUUCUAUUUUGCGCUGAUCGAUGCCAAAACCCUUCUAACACUUCUAGAACUCAUUUUUAACCCUCCCAACAGUGUUGGUAGGUUAAUUGGAACUCGCCCAAUAAAUCCAUUCGCGCACUUUAGUCAGUUUGCCUAAAGUUCGCCAUUUUCUAUCUAGGUUUCAAUACGUUACAUCUUCGGUGAGAUAAAAAAAAAGAAUGUGAGAAAAAAUAAAAGGAGAGAGAAAAAGUUAUAAGAGUAUUUUGGUCAGUUUGUUGAAAAUUCGAACAGAAUCUGCAAAAUCGAAAAAGGCGGCCUAGUUUUGCAAAAGCUCAAAACUAGUGGAUUUUUUAUGCAAAUUGGUCAUAUUUAAAUUUGGCUAUGUGUACUAGCUUUAAUUUUCUAAUUUAUGUACUUUAUCAGAAUCUAUUACUAUAUACUAAAGAACGUGAAGCAUGCUUUAAAUGCUAACACAUAUACUAUAAAUGGAUGAAAAUGCCCUUAGUGAACUCGAAAAAUUAUGUAAUAUAUUUUAACAAAUUCUGAUCUCUCUCCGCUCUCUCUCUCUCUCACACACAUCUAGAGAUGUACACAUCUCUCUAUCUUCUCUCUCUCUCAUUGAGAAAUAUGCCCAUCUCUCUUUCUCUCCUAUAUCUCUCUCUUCUCUCUCACAUAGAGAUGUUAUCUAUGUACUUCCAUCUUUCUCUCUCUCAUCUUUCUCCUUAUGCACAUUUAUUUUCUUUCUUUUUUUCGCAAACCACUCCUCCGCUCGCCCUGCCUUUUUUUUCCCCUCUCUAUGUAGCAAAGUCGUAUGGGCUAGGGAUGUCAUUAGGUAUGGAUAUCCGAAAUUUUAUCAGAACUUGAACAUGUAUUAUGGUGGUUUGGUUUACCCGAUGCUAAAUGGAUAUGGUUUUGAAUAUAGGUAUUAAAAUUGAAAAUCCUAUAGAUUUAAGUUCAAAUAUGAAUUUUGUUUAUACCCGACCUAAGUUGAAAGUCCUCCCAAGUUGGGGGUGGCGAGUUGGCAGGUCUGUUGGCCUUCUCCGUCUUCCACCAUCGAUAAGCAGCCUUAUCCAAGCAGUGUGGAGUCGAGUAGUCCUUUUCCUUGUCCAGAAUGUACAAAUCGUCGAACAAUUUUUCCAUCAAGUCGACCUACAUCUCAACUACCUAUGUGUGCGUGCUUUCGCUAUGGUACAUAGGUGGGUUAAACUUCUUUAAAUUAGCGAGGCUCGCUUGAGCUCGCUACUGCUCCGCCUCAAGUGCCAUAUGCUCUGAGGUGGAGGUAUUUGUUUCUGUCUUAGGGGCACCGCCCUCGUAGUUCCUAAUGGUGUUGGGCGUGUUGAGAUAGGCAUGGUCGUCACCACAAUGCUCUUAGUAUCAUUUAUUGUAAGGGGUAGGUUAGACGACUUCUUACUCAUCUAUGUAAUGCCUGCUACACGAAGAACUCAUGGGGCUGAUCUACUCUUCUUGGCAUCGAAAGGCCUUAGCUUACCACCUGACCACCCAAAUCAACACGACCAUCUAAUUUGCAAAGCUCACGGAUUUCAUUUAAGCCAGAGCACUCAGGUGCUUAAGGUCGUGUCGACGUGGAUCUCGUCCUAGGUUGCUCACAUGGUACCGUCAUUAACCUAAUCACAAUUACAUUGUCAAUAACUUAGCCUAAAUUUUCAGCUUAGUUAUAAUUACAUUAUAAAUAGAAUUUGACCCAAUUAAGCAAAAGUCCUUGAGGGAUUCUCUUUCUUACUCCCGACAUCAUGUUGUCAACUGCCAAUGUAAUUAUCAAAAAAAUGAAAGAGGCAUCUCCUCAAUCAUUCUCCAACACCUAUUGAAGACACCACAAGACCUGAUUGUUAACUUUCGUCAAAGUCCAUGUUCACUCAAAGUCCUAAAUCCGUAUGAUUAUCCUAAGGUUUAGGCCCAGUGAUGCGUAGUACAAAAAAUUUCAUAGAGUUUAGAUACUGUGGUUUUGGUCUAUAUGAAAUGAAGAAUCCUGUAACUCCAAAAAAAUUCCACAGGUUCAUUUUAAAAGCUGUUUGGAUACAUAUAAUAUAAUUUCAUAGGAUUUUUGACAAUCUUAAAAAAUUAGCCAUUAGGAAGUUUAAAUUUAAAGUAUUAGCUAUUAAAUGGCUUUAAAUUUAAAAAUUAAAGUAUUAAAGAUGUCUAAAAAUAAAUAGUAAUUUGAAAUUUGAAAAAUCAUGACUUUAAACUAUCAAUAAAUUUGUUCAGAAUUUGAAAAACUAGUCGUUAGAAAGUUUUAUCUCCAAAACUAGCCAUUGGUGAACUAAAAAAUUCGAAUACUAGCCGUUAGAGAGCUCAAAAAUUAAAAAGCUAGCUGUUGGAGAGCUCCAAAAAAAAAAAAAAAAAAAACUAGCUGUUGGAGAGCUCAAAAAUAAAAAAAAAACCAGUCGUUGGAGAGAUGUAUUAUGUUUCUUACACUAUUCAAAGUCUAUUUGAAGGAAUCAAUUUCUUAUAAUCACAUAACUAGUAAUUCUUACAUUCCUUUCUCUUUAUUUCAACAACAACAAACUAUGGAAAACAACAAUCUUGCACUUCUUCUUUUGAGGAGAAGGGAAGAAGAGAAAUUUGAGUUCAUGAACUUCGUUCAUCCAAUGGCAAAUGGUGAUGAAACAUUAGAGAGGAGAUGCAUCCACAUAUCCGUUCUUAGUGGCGCAAUGUAUGUUCAAGAAGUUCUUGAACGCCACGAUGAACGAUGCAAAAGAGAGUUUCGAAUGAAAACUCAUGUCUUCAAAGCGUUAGUCAAAUGCUUGAAGGAUAAAGGACUUAUUUCAGAUGAAAUAUAUCAACAUGGAGGAACAAGUAACCAUGUUUUUAUUUGUCGUUACUUCUCUCCUUCACAAUUAGAGAAUCUCCCAUUUUAUCAACAUUUUUUCUUUUUCUUUUUUUUUUUUCUAUAAUUUGAUGUAGUCAUCGCUUCUCUUGAGCUUGCAUUUGUGAUUGUGAUGUUGAAGAUAUGUGAACUGUUAGUUAUAUACCCAAAAGCCAAUCUGGUGACACUAGCUUAAGGGUAUUUAUAUAUUAAUGUUACGACAUAUUUAGUAUCUGAUGCUAUAUUAAGAUACUGUAUAUUACGACAUAUUUAGAGUAGAAUUAUAUGAUAUAUAAUUUUGGUUGUAUUAUAUGGUAUGAUAAAAGAUUAUAUGGUAUGUAAUUCUGAUUGUAUUGUUACUAUAGUAGGCUUAUCUUUUGUAUUAUAUAAUUUCAUUAAUAGAAUUCAAGAAUGUAUACUCUUUUACCCUUCUUUCAUGGUAUUAGAGCGGAAACCCUAAUUUGGGGAUAUCGAUCCAUAGCUAUCAUCCACUACAAGUCACACCUUCUUCCAUAGAUGCUUUUUUUUUUGUGUUCUAUCUCUCCUUAUCCAUGGACUUUUAUCUCCUCACGAUUGCUACAGUACCAGUGCUGCUACAGUGCUGCUACAGUCAUCACUACAGUACCUGUGCUACAGUGUCAUCGCUACAGUGCCGGUGCUACAGUAUUGUCGCUACAAUAACGCUACAGUCUGCUACAGUGUUAUGCUACAGCAAUUUCAGCCUCUUUGAGUUUGUUCUUAUCUCAUUGGUGCUAUUUUCUAGUGUUGCCUGGUUGAUCUCAAGUACGGCCGGUUCAUCUCAGGUUCAAUUCUGACUUACUUUUCCUCUUUCCUAGAUUUGGAUAUGUGAUUACUUGAUCUAUUUUUCGGAUUUGUCUCUCUCGUCGUGGAUUUUUUUUUCUUUCUCUUAGUGGUAACAUGUCUUCCUCUUCCAACCUGCCAAUGGUUAAUAUCAAACUCUCAUACCACUUGAACUCACGAAUUUCACAUAUCUGGUGUGGAAACAAAUCUUUUUUAAUGUUUUGGAGAGUUUUGGUGUUACUUCACAUGUAGAUGAAACUGGUACUAUACCGCCUCAAACUAUUGAAACUUCUUAUAAGAAAACAAGUCAAACCCAAAAUAUCAAAAUUGGAAAAAUGAAGACAUGCACCACUAUACUCUUGUGGGUUAAAAAAGGAAGAAACCACUAUACUAAGAGAAAGGGUGGCAUAUGCCACCCUUUCUCUUAGUAUAUUACAGAUGGUCGUUUCUAUUUAUCCUAAAACUGUAUAUGAUACUUGAAAAAACUAUUAAAGCGUAUUUUCUCGAUAAAAUUGCUUCCAUGGCUUUCUCUCUAAAAUUCGAAUUGCGAAACAUCAAGAAAGAUUCAAUGAACAUGAGCGAUUACAUGCAAAAGAUUAAAUCAAUUGGUGAUGCUCUACAAGUGAUUGGUGAAACUGAGUCAGACUAUAACUUGGUCAUGACCGUUCUUCUCGGGUUACUGGAAGAAUAUAGAGGUUUUGCAAUGCCCUUAAUACACAUCGAAAUAAGCCCACUUUUGAACAAUUUCGUCCACUUCUAAUACAAGAGGAAACUGAAGUUCAAUGUCGUACCAGUUUGACGACAUCACCAACCACUCUCACUAUCGAUGGUGAAGCUCUUUAUGCAAAUCUUGGAUGCGGAAGUCAUGGAGGUCGUGGAGGUAGAUAUCACGGCGGUCGAGAACAGCGCAGUAGAUUCAACUCAUAUCCUGGUCGUGGAUCUCCUGGAGCCUAUUCACAUUCUCAACCUAAUAAUUCUCAACAAUCCUAUACUCCAACUCAUCAACCUUACAUUCCGACGUCUGAUACACAAUGUCAGAUCUACGUCAAGUUUAAUCAUUCUGCUCUUCAGUGCAGACAACACUUCAAUCAUUCCUUUGUUGCAGAUGAUCUUCCUCAAACCUUUGCUGCUAUGAACCUUCAUGAACCUGGUGAGGAAGUGUGGUAUCCAAAAACCGAAGCAUCUAAUCAUAUGACCGCAACAUCUAGUAUUCUCUCAACUUCUAAAUCUUAUAAAGAGCAUGAAAAAUUCUUAUUGGUAAUAGAAAUUUACUUGAUAUUAUUCAGACAGGUGAAACUCAAGUGCAUUCCUCCUCUAAAUCCUUUGCUCUUAAAAAUGUUCUUGUUUUUUCUUCUAUUAAGAAAAAUUUACUUUCCGUACGCCAGUUUUGUCAUGAUAAAAUUCUCUUUUUGAGUUUGAUUUUUCUGAUUUUUCUGUGAAGGAUAAGAAAACCGAAACGGAGCUUCUUCGAUGCCUUAGUUCGGGAACAUCACUUUAUCCACUUUCUUCUAAAGUUGCAAGUGUCGGAAAUAAGCAACAACUAGCACUGGUAGCAUCUAGGGUUAAUAGUGAUAUUUGGCAUAGACGGUUAGGUCAUCCUAAUUUUUUUGUUCUUUCUGCAUUUCUUAAAAAUAAUAAAAUUGUCUCAGAUUCUAUUUUAAAAUUAUCUGUUUGUAAUGUUUGUAAUAUGGAAAAAUAUGUUAAACUUUCGUUUAACGAUUCAGAAUCUCAAUCUGCGCUUUCCUUUCAUAUUGAUCAUUUGAAUGUAUGGCAAUCACAUGUUCCCUGACUCUCUGGCUACAAGUAUUAUGCUAUUUUUAUUGAUAAUUACUUUCGGUCUUCUUCGCUUUAUCUUUUAAAAUCUAAAUACGAAGUUUUUGACAAAUUUUUGGAGUUUAAAAGAAUGGUUGAAAACAUAUUUCAUAGCUUGAUUAAAAUUUUCCAGUCCGACAAUGGCACUGAAUUUGUAAAUGAGAAGUUUUUUACUCUUUGUUCACAAAAUGGCGUUAUUCAUAGAUUUUCUUGUCCUUAUACUCCUCAACAAAAUAGUCUUGCUGAGAAGAAGUACAGACAUUUAUCUAACGUUGUUAGAAGCCUAUUAUUUCAAGCUUGCUUACCUCCCGAUUCUGGAAUAAGGCUAUUUAGAAUUCCAUCUCUCACUGUUUUGCAAGAACGAUCGCCGUAUGACAUUCUGCAUGGUUGUGCUUCUCCUGACUUUCAACUUGUUAAAGUUUUUGGAUGUUUAUGUUAUCCCAAUAUACAAGACAUUGCUGCUCACAAGCACUCUUCUUGGUAACUUCCUUGUGCCUUCUUGGGACUUUCUGACAAACAUAAAGGAUUUCGUUGUCUAUAUCCAAGCACCGGUAAAGUCUUUAUUUCUCACCAUGUUAUAUUUGUUGAACAUGUUUUUCCUUAUUCUUGUCUUUGUAAAUUUUCUUCUUCCUCUCUCUCCUCCUUUUCCAACUUGCAAAUGUUUCAAAAUUUUCUCGCUAAUCUGCCUUUACUGUGUGAAAGUCCUUCCACUCUUGAUGCGAUUUCUGGCUUCACAUUCACACAUCCCCCUUCUGACAAUGAUUCACGCACACCGGUUUUACCGUCAGAGAACUUAUCAAUAUUUCCUUCCAGCUUAAAUUCUAACGCUCCACAGGUUGGUCAUGAGAAUGUUGCCACUGUUGUUGGUUCAUCUGAACUUUGGGCCUAUACCAAACGCCACGCCAACCAGCCUACUGCUCCUUCUUCAUCCACUAUUGAUACGUCACCUUCAUCCGCUACUAAUGCGCCAUCUUCAUCUGCUACUGAUGUACCACCUUCUACCUUUGAUCAUCCACCUCCUCGGCCUGUUACUAUCUCCUCUCAUUCAUCCUCUAUGGCUCCACUGCCUGCCCGAACCCAUUCUAUGCUCACUCACUCCAUGACUAAGGAUUCCAUAGGAUCUAUUUUCUUACUCACUUCUGCCCAAUCUACUCUUCUUACUGAGUCUACCUCUUCACUUGUUCCAUGACUAAGGAUUCCAUAGGAUCUAUUUUCUUACUCACGUCUGCCCAUUCUACUCUUCUUACUGAGUCUACCUCUUUUCAUGAGGUUUUCCAGGAUGCAGAUUGGCGUGUUGCCAUGGUUGAAGAAUUUGAUGCCUUACUAACUAAUGUUACUUGGGAUCUUGUUCUUCCUCCUGCUUUCAUUAAUCUCGUUGGUUGUAAGUGUGAAUACAAAGUGAAGUAGAUGGCAGAUGGUUCUCUUGAGCAUCUCAAGGCUCGGUUUGUUGCUCAGGGUUACAAACAACAACGAGGUAUUAGUUUUGAUGAGACUUUUUCUCCCGCUGUCAAAGCGACCAUAAUUCGUACUGUUCUCUCAGUGGCUCUUCUCUGGAUGGUCUCUUCGACAACUUGAUGUAAAUAAUGCGUUUCUUCAUGACACUCUCUCUGAAGAAGUUUAUAUGACACAACCACUAGGCUUUUUGGACCCCUCUCUUCCUCAUCACGUGUGGCGUCUCCGCAAGGCAAUCUACGGUCUUAAGCAAGCACUUCGGGCUUAGUUUCAAUGGUUCACUUCAUUUCUUUUAGAAAUUGGUUUUGUCGACAGUACGGCGGAUCCCUUGAUAUUUUUUUCUCAUUUUUCUUCUGGCACUCUCAUUCUUUUUUUAUAUGUUGAUGAUAUUAUUAUCACCGGCAACUCCUCUUCUCUUUUGGAGGCUCUUAUUGUCACCUUGCAACGUGAAUUUGCUAUGAAAGAUCUCGAGCUGCUCCAUUAUUUCUUGGGUAUUGAGGUUACUCCGUCUUCUUCUAGUCUUCAUCUGACUCAGCACAAAUAUGCGCAUUGUUGGCAUUCGAUUAAAUCGAAUCGGGUGCGCCCAUGAUUGGGCUCGAUCCGACGGUUAUUACGUUAUCUAAUUGGAUUAGGAUUAAUCUCGCUUUUAAAUUGGAAAGCUAAUUAGAGAUAAAUCCUAAUCAUAUUAGGAUAACAAUUAAUAACCGAUUUGGCCUUAUCUCUUAUGCUAUUAGGAUUUUGGAAUCCCUUAUAAAUAUACGGGCGAUCCCACGAAAAAUAUAGAACGGAAAAAGAAAGAGAAUUAAGAAAACAAAAGAGAGAAACCGCAUUCUCCAUUAACCUAUUAUUCUAAGGGGACUUGAACGGUGGAUUUGCGAUCGUGCUCGUUUGUAGUUCGAUCCACCGCGGGUUCGGAGCAUUAGAAGACCUUAAAGGACAAUCCAAGGACACGUGAAUCAACCUCUACGUUCCGGGCUCAUCACGUUGUAGCGCGAAUCGCUUCCGCAAAAAAGUACGAACGAAUACUUCCGCUGCGUUCUACACGCAUCAACUACUUCAGCGCCACGGAUUUCUUGAUAGUAACCUUGUUUCUAGUCCUCUCUCGACCUCUCGCCUCUCGUCUUAUGAUGGACGUCUCCUUGACGAUCUUUAUAUCUAUCGUCAACUUGUUGGUGCUCUCCAGUAGCUCACAUUCACGAGACCGAAUAUUUCGUAUACUGUCAACACUAUUGCUUAGUAUUUGCAGACGCCUCGUGAACCACAUACGCAAGCUGUCAAACGUAUUCUACAUUAUAUCCAAGGGACACUAUCUUAUGGUAUUCCACUCUCUCGAUGUGUCAAUCCUUCUUUUGUGGCUUUUGCAGAUGCUGAUUGGGCUGGUUAUCUCGAUACACAUCGCUCUACUUCUAAGAAUUGCAUCUUUCUUGGGUCCAAUCUUAUCUCCUGGUCCGCUAAGAAACAGUCCACCAUUUCUGGCUCCAGUUCUGAAGCGGAGUAUCGCGCUAUGGCAUACAAGCUUGCUGAGACGGUUCGGAUUCAAUGUUUACUCCAUGACCUUGGUGUUUUCUUAUGGUGCUCUAUCAGCAUCUAUUGUGAUAAUCUCAGCACGACUUAUCUUGCGGCUAAUCCAGUUCUCCAUGCUCGGAUGAAGCAUAUUGAGCUUGACCAUCAGUUCCUACGUAAGAAAGUCUAAUCUGGUGAUUUGGACUUGGUGCACAUCUCUUUUGAUAAGCAACGUGUUGAUAUUUUUACCAAGCCUUUGUCGCCUUCUCAUUUUUCGAUAUUGCGGCUCAACCUUCGUAUCCACCCACCAGAUGAUUAGCUUGUUGGGGAAUAUUACAACAUAUUUAGUAUCUUAUGCUAUAUUAGGAUGCUGUAUAUUAUGACAUAUUUAGAGUAGGAUUAUAUGAUAUGAUAUAGGAUUCUAUGGUAUGUAAUCCUGGUUGUAUUGUUACUAUAGUAGGUUUAUCUCUUGUACUAUAUAAUUUCAUCAAUAGAACCCAAGAGUGUAUGCUCUUUUACCCUUCUUUCAAUUAAUCAUUUAUAAUUCAUAAUAUGAGGCAGAUAUUCUAUUCAUGUCUAUUGUAUAGCAGUGCAUAUUGACAUGAAUCGUCCAUAGAGUCUUUGUUUGAGAAGAUAUAUUUCUAAGAGUCAGAAAUUUGAGAUAUGUAUUUUUCUAUAAGGACACAAUUUGAUAGUGUAGCUAAACUCUCUAUUCAGGAUAUUUUUUUGUGUAUUUUAAUUACAAAAGCACUCGUCAAGUUUCGGGGAAAAACAAGUUAGAAAAAAGAUUUUACGCGAUCUUUACUUUUUACUUAAAAGUGAAUAGUAACCCGGGUUUUCGAAGAGGCCAAUGAGUAGAGAUGGCUUCCAGCGCGUAUCGGACUCCGUUCAUAGUUAUCCAAUUGCUGAUUUUCAAUGGUCUGAUUUACAUGUGAUUUUUGGGUUAGUUGCAUUUAUUUGUAUAAAGUUCUAACUGAAACACGCUAUGACUGUGAAGAAAAAAGAUUACUUGGUAAUGCCUUUUGUUUUCGUUUUUUGGAUUUCAAGUGAGAGAGCUGAGCCACUGUGAGGGAGAGAUAAGCAUCCUACGUGUCACGCCCCGAAUCCAAGGUGUAACAGACGUCACAUACCUGCUAAACUAGUAAAUAUAUAAGGCUACAGAAUCAAAGAAAAACUAGCAAAAAGAUGAUUACUAAUUUUUCACUAAAUUCAAAUAAUCAAAAGAUGAGACUAAGAAAUUGAAUUUCAACUGGAAUCAAACUGAAUUAUAACAUUUAUAAAACUAACGCUCACUACGAAACACAAGAGAAAUUCGGUCCACAGAAUACCAUAAGGAACAAAAGUGGGUAUGAACAAAUAAUGAAACAAAAGUAGAUAACAAACGAUCAUCUACGUAGUCCAAAGAUUCACAUCCGAAAAUACUAAAUAUAGAAACAAAAGGGACUAAAAUCAAACACUAACUAUCUAAUGUUCACUCGGUCUCAGCCUCGUUCGGCAAAUUAGUCUUGGUACCAGGGCUUAAGCAUUUUGGACUGGUGAUUUGGCCAAUGAGUUAUUGUUGCUGGCGGGUCGGGUCGUUAUAUUUGCUAUCAAAGCCGAAUAUUAGUUGGAAAUGUGAGAGUUAAGUGCUAUGCGGGACAAAGUGCUACACCAACGAAUUUGGUGGGAGCCACCUCCUGAACCCAUAGGAGCCACCUCUAGAAUCUCACAUCACCGGAUAAUUCUGGUCAGUCUGUCUGUCUGUGAUCUGGUUUGGACAAUAGUCUCAUAUUGGAUGGGAUACUGAUUCCGAUCAGUUUAUAUGAGACAUACACGCUAGUAAUAAUAAUUGGGCUUAAGUAUUUUGGGCUGAUGGUUUGGACUCAACGAGUUAUUAUUGUUGCCGGGCCGGGUGGUUACACUAAGGGGUCAUUUGGUUGCAUGUAAUUGCAACUGCACUGUAUUUGUAACGUGUUUGGUUUGAUAGAUUUAAUCCUAACUGCUGUAGUAGGAACUGCAGAAGAAGGCUCAACUGCAGCAAUUCGAACUACGUCCAAAUUGGCCGCAAUUCCAACUACAACAGUUGGAGAAAGUAACUUUAAAUAAAAUGUAUGCUUAACUGCUCAAUUAUUUUUAAAACAAAAAUUAUUUUUCUUUUUUACAUUGGAGGUGUUGAUGCCAAAAUUGAAAUUAACAUGCCGACCUAACCCACGUAUGAGCCAAUAAGGACACGUGGUACACCAGGAGUCGGCAAUAAGGCGCCUGAAGGUUUUAGGCAGGAACGGUUGAGAAGUGGGGCGUAACUUCUACGAUGGGGCGUAACUUCCAUGAGGAGUAGGCGUAACUCUUCCACGAUCAUGGUUACAACCACUCCCCCCACUACUUUCAACCAAUCAAUAAUGUGGGUUGAUAUUACUAUAAAUAGUAAUUUCGAAGCCUGCAAUGGGGUCUUUCUUCCCCCUGAACGAGUAGACCAUCCUUAUUUCCUUGCAAUUUUAUCGCUUUUCUAGGAGUAGUCUAAAUGUAAUCUUUUCUUUUUCACAUUUACUACUUUCCUAGGAGUAGUUUUUAAGUAGAACCCUGGAGUCUGUCUGUCACGCCCCGCGACCGCUACCAAUUUGGCUCGGCCCGGGCGCGUCGAACAGACGCCGGACGGACAGCACCUCCCCUGUCCGCCCAAGACUACCAACGAGAUUGUGUACAACAAGUUCCCAGGAAAAUAACUUGAAUACAUACACAAUCGAUAACUACAACGAGAGCACAAUCAGUGCAAAACAACCGAGAGCAAGAUACAAGUAUAGAACAUACAAGUAAUGAUAAAGAGAGAAACAUCUAUCUAUUACAUUCAUUCAGCCUUUAUAAUACAAUUUGAUUAUACAUUAAGCUUCUAAACAUAAUAUAAAGCUUACAUCUUCCAAAAUAUAAACANUGUUACGAUAUAUUUUAUCUAUAUUAGGAUGUUACGAUAUAUUAGGAUAUUGUGUAUUAUUGCCUUAUAUAGAGUAGUAUCAUUGCCUUCUAUAGAGUAAGAUUAUAUAGUAUGUAAUCCUAGUUAUACUCUUGUACUAUAGUAAGACAAUCUCUUGUACUAUAUAUAUUCAUUAAUACAACUCAAGAGGGUAUGCACUUUAGCCCUUCUUUCACUCCCGCUCUCCAUGGUUGCUCAAAAUAACCUUCACAUACGGAAUGUCCCGAUUCCGUAGUUUCUUCACCUCAUGAGCGAAGAUCUUCACGGGUUGCUCCUCGAAGCUCAAAUCUUCUCUCAGCUCCAAUGGUGUACCGUCAAGCACAUGAGCUGGAUUAUGGAUGUACUUCCGAAGGACCGAUACAUGAAAUACAUUGUGUACACCCGAUGGUUCGGAGGUAGAGCGAGUCGAUACGCUACCGGGCCUACACGCUCCAAAACUUCAUACGGUCCAAUGUAUCGGGGGCUCAGCUUACCUCGAAUUCCAAAUCUUCUAAUUCCUCUAGUCGGCGAGACUUUCAAGAAGACAUGAUCACCAAUCUGAAACUCCAAGUCUCAUCGACGCCUGUCAGCAUAACUCUUUUGCCUACACUGGGCUGUCAACAGUCGCUUCCGAGCAAUGCGAACCUUGUCCUCCGCUUCUUGGAGCAUAUCUGGGCCUAAAGUCAAUCUCUUGCCAACUUCACUCCAAUGAAGUGGCGAUCUACACUUCCGUCCAUAGAGUGCCUCGAACGAUGCCAUCUUGAUGCUUGCUUGACAACAGACCAUGAGCAUGAUCCAAUCCUCGUCUCGAGAAUACCCUAUCCUCUAGGGUUACAAUCAUCAUAUAGUCCAUAGGUUUCAUAUACACUACGAGUCACAUAUGUCACUUGUUCUUUUGUUUACUAUCAACUAGAUGCCACUCGUUCUUUACAAGUUUCCAAUGCAAUAGCCAAUACAUUACUAAAUUCCAUCCACACUUAUCAUCUCAUUAUAGGGUUCCACAUCACAUAUAUAAACGUCAAGCAUACUAGAUAUAAAUACUAA
RNAcentral lists this long non-coding RNA (57055 nucleotides) under Ananas comosus (pineapple). RNAcentral describes it as "long non-coding RNA (ACOM_LNC014883)". The record is from RNAcentral. Lineage: Eukaryota; Viridiplantae; Streptophyta; Magnoliopsida; Poales; Bromeliaceae.